GUUUUAAGGUCUACAGUAUGAUUGAAUGAUUGUGUGAAAAUUUCGUUAAGAAAUUUUAUCGAUAAGGUGUCCAAUUUGACUAAGAGGACUAAAUUGUAAUAGGUGUAAAAUAUAUGUUCUAGAAGCUAAGGUGUCUAAUUGCUAUGCAAUUUUAAAUUGGAGGUCCUUAAAUGGUAAUUAGACCAUUUUACUUUGAGUUGGACAAAAAUGGACAUGGUAGGGUGAAAUUUCAAAGUUUGGCAUUAAAGGCAUUUUGGUCAUUUGGCUAAUAAAGACAAAAUUUAACAAAUAAAAGAUGUCAUCUUCUCAAUUUCAUCCUCCCAUGGCUGAAAAUGACAAGAGAAGACAUAGCUAGGGUUUUCCAAGCUUUCAAGCUCGAUUGUAAGUCCGUUUUAGCCCCGUUUUUAAUGGUUUUCAUGUUUUUGAUAUCCUUGUAACCUAAUCUAGCUAUUUCAAGGACCAAUUUGAAAGAAAGAUGAAUUUUAAAAUUUUACCCAUGUAUUUGUGUAUUUUAAUGUCUAAUUGUAGAAAAUGCAUGUUUGGUGUUAGAUAAACAAAUUUUGUUAAGUGAUUUUCGAUAAAAAUGUGAAAAAAGACUUACUUGUUAAAGUUAUAAAAUGAGUAGUAAAAGUGUGAUUAAGUGGAAAAUGUGGGCUGAUAUGAGUAUGGAAAUGGUUCGGCUAGGCUUGGGUUUUGAAGAAAUUGAAUACAUUUCAUUUUACGAGCCUAGGAACUAAAUUGUAAAAAUGUGAAACAUUAGGGGCAAAAAUAUAAUUUUACCAUAAUAUGAUUUUUUGGCUAAAUUGAAUAAUGUGAGUAUUUAAUGAGUUAAUUUUGUUAUUAUAGAUCAAGAAAAAUGUGGUUCGGACCUAGAUCGGGGAAAAACAAAGUCUUUAAUGAUUAGGUCCAAAUCUACUACUUUUGUACCGGGGUAAGUUCGUAUGUAAAUAAUGUAAUGUUAUAUUUAUGUUUUAAAUGCUUUAUUAUUGCAUGAAUUGUGUGGCUGACUCUUUUGACGUAUUCGAAAAUAAUUUGACAAGUAAUAAAUCUUUGUUGAACCUAAGGAAUAGAAUAGGAUACGGGUGACAUGUCACUAGGAACCCCAUAUGUAUAUGUGUUUAUGUGAUCCGGGUGUUGGUCUUGUACGUCCUGCUAGUGGCUAGGUAUUCCGGCAUAUGUUGCAGUUACCUGACAGCUUGUAUGAGCAGCACUGUGUAGUUACGUCCUAACUGACAGCUUGUGUGAGCAGGCCCGUGAAUAGCUCGAGAGCGAGCCUAUAUGUGUUAUGAGAUAUGAGGUAGCUUUGAAUACAUAUAUGGCACUUACGUUCAAGAUUUUUUGAGUUUUCGAUAAUAUUCCAAGUGUUCAACGAGAAUGUCAAAGAUGUGAAAGGAUACGAGUUGGUAAAGGUAUGUUCAUAGAACUCAUAAGUAAUAAAUUCGAUAGGUGAUGAACUCUUGGUAAGGUUGUGAUUGAGUAAGUUAUGACUAUGAGAUUUUAGUAACAUUUAUGUUAUCUCACUUUAUAUAAAUUGCAUGAUUAAGGUGUUGUUAAUAUGCAUAUUAUUUGCAUAUGAAUUUACUAAGCUAUAUAGCUUACUCCCAUUUCUUUCCCUUGUCUUAUAGUGACACCAAGCUAGCUCAAGUUCGAAGAUCGUCGGAUAUCCAUUCACACUAUCAAUAAUUAUUUUGGUACCAAUGAAUUCAACAUUUUGAGUUAUGGCAUGUAUAGGGGACUAGGACAUUUUGUUAUGUGUCAUAAUUGAUUUGGCCAAAUGUGUUGGCUUAUAUUGGUUAGAAGUUCAUUUUGUAUAAGGCCAAUGGAAAUAAGCCAAUAUUGGUUAUAAGUAAUGAUUCCUUUCAUGAAUGAUAUGUUGAUGUCUUGGUUGUGGAUGUUUGGUUGUAUGUAUGCUUAGAUUUGUGAUAUGUUAUGUUGUGUAGGUGUGUACAUUAAAGGGUGGCAAAAUGGCUUGGUAAAUAGCCUUAUUUUUGUCCACACGGGUAGACACACGGUCUGCCCCAUGGGCGUGUGAUCCGAUCGUGUGUCCUCUGCACCUUAAUUUUGAGAAAUAGGAUGCCUAGAAUUGAGCACACGAGUAGAGACACAAGCGUGUGUCUCAGCCGUGUGGAUGGCACUGCCUCAAACAUGGGUGUGUGCCCUGGUUGUGUGAAGUCUGCACCUAUUUUAUGAAAGUUAAUUUUCCACACGACCUAGCACACAGGCGUGUGACUUGGUCCUGUGAUUUCAAUUUGUUCAGUGAGUUACAUAGGGUCGGGACACGGGCGUGUGUAGCCACACGGCUUGCCUACACGGGUGUGUCCCAUAUCCACAUAGGCGUGUAACCCCUGUUUAGUGGAAAAUUUUCUAAGUUUUGUAAAUUUUUCUAAAGUUUCCGGUUUAGUCCCAAAUUACUUUCAAUGCAUGUUUUGAGCCUCGUAGGCUCAUUUUAGGGACUUUAUGAUUAAAUGCAAAUGGUUUUAAUUUGGAUGCAAAUUCAUGACUUAGAAUUGUAUGGUUAUUCAUGUGAUAAGUUCGGUAAUGCCUCGUACCUUGUUCCGGUAUUGAAUACUGGUAAGGGGUAUUGCAUUUAGUGGUAUCAGAGCUACAAUUUAGUCGAUUCUCGGACUAACGCAGCAUGUGUAAAAGUCUAGCUAUACAUGCCAUGAAUAAACUGUGAUAGUGUGAUAACUCCUAACAAUUUUAAACUGUGUUUUUAUAUAGUAAAUGGAUCUCGAUCAAGCUGUAGCUAAUGAGGUAGAAAGCAAUGCGUCAGCUCCUACUCAAGAGGCAGCGCCAUCUAAAAGUAGACCUUCCUCAGUUAGUCAGGGAGGAAGGGCUAGGGAAGCCUUCCUCCACAUGUUGAAUGAGUGGUAUUCAAAGUUUGGUCGAAUAAAUCCGACUACUCAACAUCCUCUACCCCCUCCUUAUCCCCAACCGAUUCCCGUAACUCCUCAAGGUGUGGAAUUGGUAAGACUGAAUAAGCCUCUGGUUGAUAAGAUUCAAAAGCAAGGGGCUAAAGAAUUUAGAGCAAAUGUAGAUGAUGACCCGGAGAGAGCCGAGUACUGGCUUGAGAAUACUAUCAAGGUAUUUGAUGAGUUAUCAUGUACACCAGACGAAUGCUUGAAAUAUGCUAUAUCGUUAAUGAGGGACAUAGCAUACCACUAGUGGAAGACACUAGUAUCUAUGGCACUGAGAGAGAGGGUUACAUGGGAAUUCUUUGAAGAGGAAUUCUAAAAGAAAUAUAUUAGUCAGCUGUUCAUCGAUUAGAAACGUAAAGAAUUUCUUGAGUUGAAACAUGGCCAAAUGUCAGUGACAGAGUAUGAGCGAGAAUUUGUAAGGCUCAGUAAGUAUGCCUGAGAGUGUGUUUCCUCUGAGGUUAUUAUGUGUAAAAAGUUUGAAGAUUGGCUGAAUGAGGACAUCAGACUAUUAGUUGGAAUCUUAGAACAAAAGGAAUUUGUUGUAUUGGUUGAACGAGCUUGCAAAGCUAAAGAACCAAGCAAAGAGAAAAGAAAGGUCGAGAGUGAAGCUAGAGAUGCAAGAAAAAGGCUGAUGAGUAAGUCAUUUCAAUCUCAAUCAAAGAAAUCCAGAGAAAUGUAUUCUCGUUCGAAUGUUUCAGCUAGGUAUUCACAUAGAGACCGAGAGAAACAAUAUUCGGGUCCUAAAGGUCAAGCUACUUCAAUGACAAGUGUGGGUAAUGUUAGGUCUAACAGACCUUAAUGUCAGCAUUGUGGCAGACGACAUCCCAACAAGUAUAGGAUAAAUGACCAAGCUUGUUUCAAGUGUGGUUCUCAAGAGCAUUUUAUCCGAGAUUGCCUUGGGAUGGCUGAGGAAGAAAAAUUUCAGAGUACAAGGCCGAGUAAUACUACCUAUAGAGGUAGGCCACUGAGAAAUACAGGGAGCUAAACUAUUACUAAAGGUGUGAAGAAGUAUUCAACUGUGAGAUCCAAAGCUAGAGCACCUGCUAGAGCUUAUGCCAUACGUGCUCGUGAGGAUGCGUCAUCUCCUGAUGUGAUUACUAGUACAUUUUCUCUUUAUGAUACUAAUGUUAUUGCAGUGAUCGAUCUUGGAUCGACUCAUCUUAUGUUUGUGUGAAUUUGGUAUCUAGUAAGAAUUUGCCUGUUGAGUUUACUAAGUUUGUGAUUAAAGUGUCAAACCCCUUAGGCAAAUAUGUGCUAGUUGAUAAGGUCUGCAAGAAUUGCCCUUUGAUGAAUCGAGGUCACUAUUUUUCGGCUGACUUAAUGUUGUUGCCAUUUGACGAAUUCGAUGUUAUUUUGGAUAUGGGCUGUUGACACUGCAUGAUGCCAUAGUAAAUUGUAGACAGAAAAAUAUUAAAUUGAAAUGUGAAAAUGGUGAAGUUCUUUGGGUUGAAAUCGAUGAAUCAAGUGAAUUGCCUAUUGUGAUUUCGUCUAUAUCUGCUCAGAGGUAUGUAAGAAAAGGUCGUGAAGCUUAUCUUGUUUAUGUGUUGAAUAUAAAGAUGUUUGAAUUGAAAAUUGAAUCAGUGCCAGUAGUUUGUGAAUAUCUUUAGAUGUGUUUCCAAAAGAGUUGCUUGGAUUACCUCCGAUUAGAGAGGUUGAGUUUGCCAUUGAUUUAGUACUUGGGACUUCAACGAUAUCGAUUGCUCCGUAUAGGAUGGAUCCGACUGAAUUGAAAGAAUUGAAAGCUCAGUUGCAAGAGCUGACAGAUAAGGGUUUUGUGAGACUGAGUUUUUCUCCCUGGGGUGCUCUAGUGUUAUUUGUGGUACGUGAUAUUCGUGGCAGGUUUUAAAUAUUUAUAAUGAAUCGUUCUUGAAACUAACUAUUAUCACUAUGAAGGCAAGUGUACCUAUCGAAUAGUAGUAUAGCUUUAGCAAGACCGGAUUAUCGAACCCAAAGGAACUAAAAGUACUAGUAUUAACUUUCUUUUUAUUAUCUAGCCUAAGAAUAAUGGGGUUUGUUUCAACUAACUAAUUAACUAAACUAAGAAAUCACAGAAAAUAGAAUUGGUGAAUUACUUUUGGAAAAAACGAUUGAAUUAAGACAAUACUUAAGGAAAAAUCCACCUAGACUUCACUUGUUAUUUGACUCUGAAUCGAACGAUUUAUUCAUUUGACUUGAUCCGUAGAAAUCCCUAAGUUAUAUUAUUAUCCCUCUCGAGACUAACAACGUCUAACCCUAGGUUGAAUAAUUGAAAUCUCUUUCUAAUUAACUCCCUAGGGUUGCAUUAACUUGAUCUAUGGAUCCUCUUAUUAGGUUUCACCUUAAUCCGACAAAAUCUUGUCACCCCAUCUCUAGGCGCACAACCAACUCCACUUAAUUAUGAAAAAUGUACUCUUAGACAGGGUCUAUUCCUCCUCUGAAUAAGAGCUUAACAUGAAUCAAUAUCCUGGAAUAUCAAAACAAGAAUUAAGAACAAGUUAAAUAUUUAUUAUACAAUUCAGAUAAUAAUAACAAGAUCUAUCUUAGGUUUCAUUCCCCUUAGGUAUUCAAGGGUUUUGGUUCAUAACUAAAAAGGUAAACAUCUCUGAAGAAUAAUGAAUACAAAACAUAAAGAAAAACCCAAAACUUCUGAAGGGAAAUUAAGGGGAGAUCUUCAGUCUUAAUGAUGAAUCCGGCUUCUGAUAUGGAUCAAUCGGCUUUCCUUGAGCAGUUCCCUGCUUCCCUCUCUGUGUGUUCUCUUUCCUCCUCCUCUAGGGUGUAUUUAUAGGCUUUGGAAUGCCUAAGAACCCUCAAAAUUGGCCUUUUCCGAAUUGGACUAAACUUGGGUUCGGCAGGGACACGCCCGUGUGCAAUUACUUCAGGCCGUGGUCAAGCCUGUUAAAUAGGCAUGGGCGUGUGGUCCACCCGUGUGAGUCAUGCUUCGAUUCUCCCAAAUUGACAUGGCCGUGUGGUCUGCCCGUGUGAGGAGGUCCAGGCCGUGUUGAUUUCGUACAUUGGCCCAUUUUCUCUAUUUUUUGCCCGUUUCUCAUUCCUUUCACUCUCCUAUGCUCACCUAAGUAUAAAACAUGAAAUUAAGGCAUUAGGAGCAUCGAAUUCACCAAUCUUAAGGAAACAUCAUCCAUAAAAUGUGUUAAGCAUGGGAUUGAAAUAUGUAUAAAUUACGGUUUAUCAAAUACCCCCACACUUAAGCAUUUUCUUGUCCUCAAGCAAAAUCCUGAACUCAUAAUCAAAAUAAAUUCUUCUCAACUUUUAAUUUCUAUCACUAAUAUCUCAAAAUAAUCCAUAGGUAAUCAUACUUUGAAAAUUCAACUGAAAGAACAUCAAAGUUUCAAGCAUUCCAAGUUGAGUAUUGUAUCAUGAAAACAUAGGUGUCUCCCCUCGUCUAAGUAAUUACCUUUGAUUCAAAAUGUCAUAGAGUUUCACAUCCUCACUAAAGAUUAACUCAAAUCACUCGAGGUAUUUAAGGACAAUAAAUGAAGCACUCAAAUAAUGAAAAGUCAUUACCCUAGGCUUGCAUGAAAACCAAAUCUCCACCACUAUAAGUUAAGAUGAAACAUCAAUCAAAAGGUAUUUAGAGGGUUGUAACGUGGCUUUGGUUAGAGGGUAUGGUCACAAGCUGAAAGAAAGGGUUAGAAUCGAGAUUGAAUUGAAAAAUUGCCUACCUAGAAAAAUGGCUAGUCAUCAAUUGUGUACAACAGAGCUUUUUUAGAAUAUGAAAUUUAACUAUUUAGCUCAGAAGAUCACUACUACUAAAAUGUAUACAUGUAUAUAUAUAUUUUAAGAACAAGUCAAAUUACAAAAUAGAAUAAAACAUAGCUAAGAAACUAUUCCAACACAAAUCUUGACAAAAAUAGGGAUCAAAUUAAUUUAGGGGAUUUCAACAAUAAUAAGUUAUGGGUUAAUAUUGAGGGUACAUCAAUGAAUGGGUUGUUAGGCUCAAGGGGGUUCACUAAGGGUUAAUUGUGAAGGUAGGCUUUUGUGGAGUGAGUGGGUUAAACCUAAGUGCCUUUAUCAUUUUGACAUAUCAAAUCAAAUGGUGUGGUCUUGACAUGUAUAAUCAAGCAAGUUCUAGAAUAACAAUUCAAUACUAAUACACUCAUAAUGAAAAUGAGCAUGAAAGAAAUAAUAGAUGAUCUAAAGGCUCAAGAUCUCACAAAAAUUAUGGUUUUUUGAUGUUUAAGCUUGUGAAUUUCAACUCCAGAAAAUACCUAAACUUAGGGAAACAACAUAAAAGUUUUUAAUUCUUCAAAAAUCAACUUAUCAUGCUUGAUUCCCUAAUGUCUUAAAGUUUAAACAAUCAAUGCAUAAUUGCCUAUGUUUUAGUUCAAGAUAUAUCAAUAAAAGUCAUAAAUCAAUCAAAAUUUAUCCUAAACAUGAUAUGAGAGCUUUUCAAGAGAACAAGGCAAUCAUUCAGGGAUUUUUUUGAUAGUGAAAUGAAUACCCCCCACACUUAAUAUGUACAUUUCCCUCAAUGUACGAAGAUAGAUAUAUAGAAAAGAAUAUAAAAAUAAGAUAGGGAGAGAAGUGAAACUUCCUGAGUGAUGAAUGAAUUUCCUUGAACUAGAGUUUUGGAGAAUAAUUGGCAUGAGGGUGGAGGAGGAUACUCCGGUGGUGGUAGAGGUUCAUUAGUCCAUAAGUCCUGUGCCAAAAGAAUAUUAUAUCUGGUGGUAGCUAUGGUCGUGGUCGAGCAGGACAUGGCAGUCGUGGAGAACCUUUCUCGGUGGAGUUUUUAGUUCCUAUGUAAUGAUGAGCUUAGGAGCUCUUUAUGACUGUGAUCAAAUCAGGAACUCUUUAAGAGGUAUACUAAAGCAUAAUUACUCAUAAUGAAAUAGCCGAAGAAUAAAAAUUGUAAAAACUCAGGAUGAAAUAGUAUUAAAAGGAAAUAAAAAAUUCAAAAUAUAGAGAUAAAAAUAAAAUAAAAUAAAUAAUAGGUGUUUAUAGAGAAAUUGGGGCACACAGCCGAGGGGCACGCUCGUGUGCUCUAAGCUCAGCCCAUGCGUUUCGUACUUUUUGAAAUUAGGCGCAUUGGUGUACACGGGCAUGUUGCACGGUAGUAUCGGUCUCCGUUCGCUUCUCCCACGCUCGUGUAGGCAGGUGCAUGCCCGUGUUAGAUUGACAGUUUACCCACGGUUUCAAAACACGGGCGUGUUACACAUCUAUGUUUUUUUGGCAGUUUCGCCCACGGCCAUGUCACACGGCUAUGGCUACUUAUUGCAUCCCGUGUUGGGGAAGAAAAUUUUGCCAUGUUUUCACACGGUCUUAUCGCAUGGCCGUGAGGGUGGAGGAGGGUACUCCGGUGGUGGUAGAGGUUCAUUAGUCCAUAAGUCCUGCGCCAAAAGAAUAUUAUAUUUGAAGUUGGUUAUGGUCAUGGUCGAGUAGGACAUGGAAGUCGUGGAGAACCUUCCCCGGUGGAGUUUCGAGUCCCUGAGUAAUAGUGAGCUUUGGAGCUCUUUAUAAUUAUGAUAGAAUCAAGAACUCUUUUAGGAAAUGUAUAAAGAAGAGUAAGUACUCAAUAUGAAUUAGCCGAAAUUAAAAUUUGUAACAUAAUAAUUAUAAGUUAUAAUAAAAAUAAGGUGAAAGAAAAAUAAAAAGUAGUCGUAAAAUAAAAUAAACGUAAAAACAUAAAAUAAUAAAUAAAAGUUUUUAAACAUCUUCAUCGCUAGAUGGUUAGCGAGGUGGGGGUGGCGAUGUGAUGUGGAAGUGUAGCAUCAAUGUGAUCGAAGCGCUGAAAACAUUACUGCUCGAAUCGAGUUAGGCACUUAGAGAUGUCAGCGUAUGAAGCCGCCGCAUGAACUGGACGAGAGGGUGGUGGUGGCUGAGACAGUGCGUCCUCGUGACGUGGAGGGACAUCAUCAGUAAUAUCCUCGGGGGUCUCCUCAUUGGUGGAUUGGGCGAGAUGGUACUGAAGAGGGAAUGUGCCACGUCAUUUCUCGAUCAUCAUCAUACUUAGCAUGCUCGAGAUGCCCUGUGGGGACAUCUGGCCCAUGAGAGUGAGGGAGGAUGAUUGGGCUACUGUGUUGAGGAGCCCGAAGUGUCGAGCCAACCGUUUCAAAUAGGGCCCGAUAGAGAUGACCCCCUUCCUAUGUCGCUCCGUCUGAUGUUGAAUGGCGAGCGCAAUGAAAUAAGCAAGGUCUAUGAUGUGCCCAUGUGACAUACACCAUAGAAAGUAGGCAUCGUGAGUGUUGACGAUGUCAGUGCUCUCUCUUCUUCCUGUUAACGUGUGAGCCAAAAUGGUGUGUAAGUACUUCAGAGAUAGAGGGAGAGCCGAUGUCUUGGGGUGGCUAGGAUUGUAGGAGGCAGCGCCGAGGGCGAGGGUGUUCCAACACCGUGAAGGAGAGUGAUGGAUGUGGUGAUUGAGAGCGUGGAGUUCAUUCUCCUCCAUGAACUCCUCAAUGUAAAGGACCAGUGCAGUUCCGAACUCUAGGACGUUCAAUUGGCGGACUAGACCGCUGAGGCAAAAUUAGAUAGUUCCUGGGUCAUCAAAACGAGCCAUCACGAUCUAAAGAUGGAACGUUGAGCAGAGUUCCAUCGUGAGUUCAAGAUAUGUCGGCUCGACAAUCUCAAAGAAAAGCCCCCAAGGAUCGGCGGUGAGGAGGGCCCUAAUUGCAUCCACGAGUUGGACUUGUUCUAGCGUAGCGCAGUCUAUACAGUGGCCCAUUUCCAAGGGUCAGGCUCGUAGAACCUGGAAAAGUUCUUCUUGAGGCCCAAUGGGGAGCUCCAGGAAAGGGUGACGAAUUUCUACGGUAGGACCCAAGAAAGAUGAUGCUCCCUUCCUUUUCUUCGAAGUAGGGACGGCGGCUUUCUUUCCUCGUGAAGAUGACAUGGUGUACGCUAGAAAGAGGAGAAUAAGCGUUAAAAAUGGGGUUGAAAGCGGUGCACGGGUGUGUUAGGGAGGUCUUGUGGACUUGCAGCAGCUAGGGUUAGGGAUUUUGGGUGACGGAGAUGAUGAACAGUGAAGGGUAUUUAUAGAUCUUGGGACACACACCAGGGAACACGCCCGUGUUCCCCAAUUUUUGCCCGUGUGAUUUGUAAAUUUUGAAUUUGGGCGCUUCUGACAAUUUUCCCACGCCAGUGUACCUUGGGCAUGUUGGUGCACACGGCCGUGUUGCACGGUCGUGUCUAUCUCUGUUUGCUUCUCCCACGCCCGUGUUGUUUUGGCAGGUUCGCCCACGGUUGCUUGGCACGAGCGUGUGUUAAUUUGACAGGUUUGGCCACGGUUUCCAGGCACAGGCAUGUCGCACGCCCGUUUUGUUUUGACAGGUUCACCCACGGCCAUGUCGCACGGCCGUGGCGAUUUAUCGUAGCCCGUGUUGGAGAAAUCUUUGCCCUAUUUUCACACGACCCUAAGCACGCCCGUGUGCUUGGCCGUGUCUAUGUGGUAAACCUGUAUUCAAGAGCUUCAUUAGUAAGUUAGGUGUUAAACACUAAAAUUUAAAGAAGUUAAUACAGUUAGUGCUCGGGUUGCCUCCAAGAAGCACUUAUUUAUAGUCUAAGCUUGACUUACCUUUCCAUUGAAUGGUCAUGGUGGUUCGAGGAGUUUAUACUCCUCAUUCCUGCUGUGAAUCUCAUCAAAAUAAGGUUUUAGGAGGGUAUUGUUUACCUUAAAAGUGCCGAACUUGGGAUGAUUUACCUCGACUGUACCGAAUGGGAAAAUGCUAAGUACUGUAAGAAGGAUUUCUUCAUUUGGUUUGGCAGUUUUGGCAGUGAGAAUGUGAGGAUCUGCGGCAACUAAUAAAACUCUAUCUCCAACCUUAAGUUGAUUUGGAAAGGUAUUAAGCUUGUUCUGGUGUAGUUUUAGUUUAUCUUGUGUUCUUGGUUUAUGUGUCUGCCAUUCAUCUAGCUCCUCGAUUUGUAGCCUUCGUUCUUUACGAAUAGGUCCUCUACUAUUGCUUGAAAAUGGCUCAUGUACUUCCUUCGAGCUCAUUUCCUGCAAAGUAGGUUGCACCAUAUUGUUAGUUUUAGUAGAAUGAUUUAGACAAUCACCUUCAAUUUUUGAUGUGUUGCCAGAAUUGCGAGCUUGAAGGGUGAUUGUUUCAUCUCCCACACAAAGUGUGAGCUCACCUAUGCCAACAUCAAUAAUCGUUCUAGCAGUUGCUAAAAAGGGCUUUCCUAAAAUCAAAGAAGUGUUGCUAUCCUUCUCUACGUCUAGAACAACAAAGUCAGCAGGAAAUAUAAAUUUAUCGAUUUUAACUAGCACAUCUUCAAUAAUACACCUAGGAAACCUUAUAGUUUUAUCUGCUAAUUGAAUGCUCAUCCUAGUCUGUUUAGGUUUCCCAAGACCUAGUUGUUUAAACAUCUUGUAAGGCAUAACAUUAAUACUAGCCCCUAAAUCAACUAAUGCAUUAUUAACAUCUAAACUACCAAUUAAGCAAGGAAUUGUAAAACUCCCUGGAUCUUUCAAUUUGUUGGGUAGUUUAUUAUGUAGAAUAGCUAAGCAAAUUGUGUUUAGCUUCACAUACGAAGCCCCGUCCAACUUCCACUUAUAUGCUAAAAGCUCAUUUAAAAAUUUCAUUGCGUUUGGCAUCUCUGAUAGAGCUUCAAUAAAUGAUAAGUUAAUAUGUAAUUUUUUUAAGAGUUCAAGGAAUUUACCAAAUUGUUCAUCUAAGCGGUCUUUCCUUGUCGCAUUAGGGUAUGGCACACGAGGUUUGUAUUCUGUACUUACUGGUUUCUGCUCAUUAUGGUCUACCUCACCUUUACCUUUGCUUAUCUUAGUUUCUUGCCUUGGUUCUGAUUCAGGUGUGACUAACCCUUCCUCAUCUUGACAAGUAAUCACGUUGAGUUGCUCCCUCAGGUUAGACUCUAUGUUGCUUGGCAAGCUACCUUGUGGUCAUUCAGAAAUCAACUUGGCAAGCUGUUCAAUUUGAGUUUCGAGCCCUUGGAUCGAUGCUUGUUGAUUCUUAAGUGCUGUCUUGGUAUUCUAAAAAUGAGUUUCUGACACCGAUAUAAACUUUGAGAGCAUCUCUUCAAGGUUCGGCUUCUUUUCCUGUUGGUAAGGUGGUUGUUAAAAACCCGGAGGAUGUUGUGGCCUUUGAUUUCCUUAACCGCCCCACGAGAAAUUGGGAUGGUUCUCCAACCUGCAUUAUAAGUGUUACUAUAUGGGUUAUUUUGGGGUCUAGAGUUAUUGUUACCCAUAUAUUGGACUUGUUCCUCCUUGAUGCUAGGGUUGAAGGGUUGAUAUUCUGUGCAUGCUCCUCCUCCAUUCGAAUCACACCUCAUCACUGGAUGUACCUGAGUAGAACCACACAAACCAUCAAUCUUUUUAUUUAAGAGUUCCACUUGGUUAGAUAUAAUAGUAACUGCGUCGAGGUUGAAGACACCGGUUCUCAUAACUUGCCACUGAUAGUUAUUCAGUGACAUCUCUUCAAUAAAUUCGUAAGCCGCCUCAAGUAUCUUAUUAUUGAUAGUUCCUCUAGCGGCUGCAUCAAUCAUCUACCGAGUCAAAGGAUUCAGACCAUUAUGGAACGUUUGAACUUGUAGCCAAAGUGGUAACCCAUGGUGAGGGCACCUUCUCAAAAGGUCAUUGUAUCUCUCCCAUGCAUCGUAGAGUGUUUCUAAAUCCAUCUACACAAAAGAAGAGAUAUCAUUACGUAAUUUGGCUAUUUUAGUCGGUGGAAAAUAUUUUAAUAAAAUUUUUCGGUCAUUUGUUCCCAAGUAGUGAUUAACCCUCGUGGUAACGAGUUCAACCACUGUUUAGCCUUAUUCCUUAAUGAAAAGGGAAACAACCGAAGACGUAUGGCAUCAUAAAAAACGCCAUUGAUUUUAAAUGUAUCGCAAAAUUCUAGGAAAUUUGCCAAGUGAGCGUUGGGAUCCUCGUCCUGUAAACCAUCAAACUGAACAAACUGUUGUAUCAUUUGAAUUGUGUUAGGUUUCAGUUCAAAAUUAUUUGCAGCAAUAGCAGGUCUAACUAUACUUGACUCAGUUCCUAUUACAAUCGCAGGAGGCAGCGAAUUUUCUUGGUUUUCAGCCAUCUCAUUGGUUGUGGUUUGAAUAUCGUCCUCUUGCUCGUUCUCUGUAUAUCUUAAGCUUCACCUUAUUUCUCUUUGGUUUCUGAGAACUAUGCGAUCGAUCUCACUGUCAAAAAGUAAUGGUCCUAACGAGUUUCUUCUAGUCAUAAACUAUAAGAACUUGCCAGAAAAAGGGAAAAGAAAGAAUUAGUAAUAAAAAUUAGAAUAAAAUUUAAAUUGCAGUAAAAGUAAAUGGCUAAAGUAAUAAAAAUCGAGUGUUCCUAAUAUCUUAGUUCCCCGGCAACGGCGCCAAAAACUUGGUACGUGAUAUUCGUGAUAGGUUUUAAAUAUUUAUAAUGAAUCGUUCUUGAAACUAACUAUUAUCACGAUGAAGGCAAGUGUACUUAUCGAACAGUAGUAUAGCUUUAGCAAGACCGGAUUAUCGAACCCAAAGGAACUAAAAGUACUAGUAUUAACUUUCUUUUUAUUACGUAGCCUAAGAAUAAUGGGGUUUGUUUCAGCUAACUAAUUAACUAAACUAAGAAAUCACAGAAAGUAGAAUUCGGGAAUUACUUUUGGAAAAAAACGAUUGAAUUAAGACAAUACCUAAGGAAAAAUCCACCUAGACUUCACUUGUUAUUUGACUCUGAAUCGGACGAUUUAUUCAUUUGACUUGAUCCGUAGAAAUCCCUAAGUUAUAUUAUUAUCCCUCCUGAGACUAACAACAUCUAACACUAGGUUGGAUAAUUGAAAUCUCUUUCUAAUUAACUCCCUAGGGUUGCAUUAACUCUAUCUAUGAAUCCCCUUAUUAGGUUUCACCCUAAUCCAGUAAAAUCUUGUCACCUUAUCUCUAGGUGCGCAACCAACUCCGCUUAAUUAUGACAAAUGUACUAUUAGACAGGGUCUAUUCCUCCUCUGAAUAAGAGCUUAACUUGAAUCAAUAUCCUGGAAUAUCAAAACAAGAAUUAAGAACACAUAAUUAAGAACAAGUCAAAUAUUUAUCAUACAAUUCAGAUAAUAAUAACAAGAUCUAUCUUAGGUUUCAUUUCCCUUAGGUAUUUAGGGGUUUUAGUUCAUAACUAAAAAGGUAAACAUCUCUGAAGAAUAAUGAAUACAAAACAUAAAGAACAACCUAAAACUCCUGAAGGGAAAUUAAGGGGAGAUCUUCAGUCUUGAUGAUGAAUCCGGCUUCUGAGAUGGAUCAAUCGGCUUUCCUUGAGCAGUUCCCUGCUUCCCUUUCUGUGUGUCCUCUUUCCUCCUCCUUUAGGGUGUAUUUAUAGGCUUUGGAAUGCCUAAGAACACUCAAAAUUGGCCUUUUCCGAAUUGGACUAAGCUUGGGCUCAGCAGGGACACGCCCGUGUGCAAUUACUUCAGGUCGUGGUCAAGCCUGUUAAAUAAGCACGGGCGUGUGGUCCACCCGUGUGAGGCGUGGUACGAUUUUUCCAAAUUGACACGGCCGUGUGGUCUGCCCGUGUGAGGAGGUCCAGGCCGUGUUGAUUUUGUACGUUGGCCCUUUUUCUCUGUUUUUGGCCCGUUUCUCGUUACUUUCACUCUCCUAUGCUCAGCUAAGUAUAAAACAUGAAAUUAAGGCAUUAGGAGCAUCGAAUUCACUAAUUUUAAGGAAAAAUCAUCCAUAAAAUGUGCUAAGCAUGGGAUAGAAAUAUGUAUAAAUUAUGGUUUAUCAAUUUGUAAAGAAGAAAGAUAGAUCUAUGAGACUUUAUAUCAAUUACUGACAACUCAACAAGGUGACCAUUAAGAACAAGUAUCCUAUACCGAGGAUUGAUGACUUCUUUAAUCAGUUAAAAGGAGCAACAGUUUUCUCAAAAAUUGAUUUGAGAUUGGGUUACUAUUUGUUGAGAGUUAAAAAGUCAAAUGUGCCGAAAAUCACUUUCAGGACAAGGUACGGGCAUUAUGAAUUUCUUGUUAUGCCUUUUCGAUUAACUAAUACCUCUUCCGUAUUUAUGGAUUUGAUGAAUUGGAUCUUCCGACCGUAUAGAUAAGUUUGUGGUUAUGUUCAUCAAUGAUAUUUUGAUUAAUUUUCGAGAUGAGUCCGAGCAUGCUGGGCAUUUAAGAAUUGUAUUGCAGACCUUGAGAGGUAAGAAAUUGUUUGCUAAUUUCAGUAAAAGUAAGUUUUGGCUUUGAGAAGUUGGAUUUUUGGGACAUAUCGUUUUAGUUGAUGGUAUUCGGGUUGAUCCAAGCAAGAUUUUAGUAAUUGUUGAGUGGAAACCACCAAGGAAUGUAUCGAAAGUUAGAAGCUUUUUGGGUUUAGCCAUUUAUUACUGACGUUUUGUCAAAGGAUUUUCAAUGAUUGCUACUCUUAUGACCAAGUUGUUGCAAAAAUAUGUUAAAUUUCAAUGGUCCAAAAAAUGUCAGCAAAGUUUUGAGAAAUUGAAAGCAUUAUUGACUGAGGCGCUAGUUUUAGUGCAGCCUAAAUCAGAAAAAGAAUUUGUAAUUUAUAGUGAUGCUUCAUUGAAUGGUUUGGGUUGUGUAUUGAUGCAAGAAGGAAAAGUGAUAGCUUAUGCCUCGAGAUAGUUGAAACCACACGAGAAAAAACUAUUCGACGCACAAUUUGGAAUUGGCUGUUGUUGUUUUUGCUUUAAAAAUUUGGCGUCAUCAUUUGUACGGUGAGGAAUGCCAUAUUUUUACUGAUCAUAAGAGUUUAAAAUAUUUAAUGACUCAGAAAGAUCUGAACUUGUGACAAUAGAGAUGGCUUGAGUUACUGAAAGAUUAUGAAUUAGUAAUUGACUAUGAUCCGGGAAAGGCGAAUGUAGUCGCAGGUGCCUUGAGCAGAAUGUCCUUGUUUGCUUUGAGAGCUAUGAAUACAAAGCUGACUUUGUCUAAUGAUGAUUCAAUUUUGGCUAAGACGAGAGCUAGACUGAUAUUUCUUCAGAAAAUUUGUGUAGUUUAGAAAAAUGAGAGUGAAUUGCAAGCCAAAAGAGCUCAGUGUGAAUUAUGUAGUGAUUCAGACUUUUGGAUCAGUUUGGAUGAUUAUUUAAUGUUCCGAGAUAGAGUAUGUGUACUGAAAAAUGAUGAACUUAUUCAAAAAAUUUUACAUGAAGCACACAGUGGUUGUUUAUCAAUUCAUCUGGGUAGUACGUUUGAAGAAAUUGUAUUGGUGGUCAGGUAUGAAAUGAGAUAUCUCUAAAUUUGUAUCAAAAUGUUUGAUUUGUCAACAAGUAAAAGCUAAACACCAAGUGUUUUUGGGUCUACUUCACCUAGUGAUUGUACCCGAAUGGAAAUGGGAUAUGAUUACGAUGGACUUCGUAACGGGUUUGCCAUUGACUCCGAAAAAGAAAGAUGCCUUCUGGGUUGUUGUUGACAGAUUGACAAAAUCAGCUCAUUUUAUUCUGGUACGUAUCGACUACUCACUUGAUAAGCUAGUUGAAUUGUACAUUGCUGAAAUUGUGAGAUUGCACAGAGUGCCUAUUUCAAUUAUAUUGGAUAAAGAUCCGAGAUUUACUUCAUAAUUUUGGAAGAAGUUGUAAGAAGCUUUGGGUACAAAUUUGAACUUUAAUACUAUAUUUCAUCUGCAAAUCGACGGUCAAUCUGAAAGAACGAUACAGAUUCUCGAAGAUAUGCUUAUAACAACAGUUUUCAGUGAGAGAUAGAUUCAUAGGGUUGAUUUGGUUAGAGAAACCAAAGAGAAAGUGAAAGUAAUUCAUGAUUGUUUGAAAGCCACUUCGGAUAAACAGAAAUCGUAUGCUGAUUUGAAACGAAAAUAAAUUGAAUUUCAAGUCUGUGAUAAGGUAUUUCUGAAAGUAUCUCCGUGGAAGAAGAUUCUGAGAUUUGGCCGUAAAGGCAAGUUAAGUCCACGUUUCAUUGGGCCGUAUGAGAUUAUUGAAAGAAUAGGGCCGGUGGCAUAUCGAUUAGGUUUGCUGAUAGAGUUGGAAAGGAUUCAUAAUGUGUUUCAUGUGUUGACGUUGUGACGAUAUCUUCUGAUCCUUCACAUGUGGUUUCACCAACAGAAGUUGAGAUUAGACCUGAUAUGACUUAUGGUGAAGAACUGAUCAAGAUUUUGGCUCGGAAAGUUAAACAGUUGAGAAAUAAAAGCAUAGCCCUAGUGAAAGUUUUGUGGCAACGACAUGGGGUCGAAGAGGCUAUGUGGGAACCUGAGGAAGUUAUGAGAAAACAGUGCCCAAACCUAUUUCUUGGUAAGAUUUUCGGGGACGAAAAUCCCUUGGGGGGAGAGUUGUAACAGCCUGUUUUAGUGUCAAAUAGAACUGUGAUUUUGGGACCACGAAUCUGAAGUAGAAAUAUUUAUUGUGAUAUUUUUUAAGGUCUACAGUAUGGUUGAAUGAUUGUGUGAAAAUUUCGUGGAGAAAUUUUAUCGAUAAGGUGUCCAAUUUGACUAAGAGGAUUAAAUUAUAAUAUGUGUAGAAUGUAUGUUCUAGAAGCUAGAGGUGUCUAAUUGCUAUGAAAUUUUAAAUUAGAGGUCCUUAAAUGGUAAUUAGACCAUUUUACUUUAGUUGGACAAAAAUGGACAUGGUAGGGUGAAAUUUCAAAGUUUGGCAUUAAGGGCAUUUUGGUCAUUUGGCUAAUAAAGACAAAAUUUAACAAAUAAAAGAUGUCAUCUUCUCAAUUUCAUCCUCCCAUGGCUGAAAAUCACAAGAGAAGACAUAGUUAGGGUUUGCCAAGCUUUCAAGCUCGAUUGUAAGUCUGUUCUAGCCUUGUUUUUAAUGAUUUUCAUGUUUUGAGAUCCUUGUAACCUAAUCUAGCUAUUUCAAUGAACAAUUUCAAAGAAAGAUGAAGUUUAAAAUUUUGCCCAUGUUAGAUAUUUGUGUAUUUUGAUGUCUAAUGCUAGUAAAUGCAUGUUUGGUGUUAGAUAAACAACUUUUGCUAAGUGAUUUUCGAUAAAAAUGUAAAAAAUGACUUAUUUGUAAAAGUUAUAAAAUGAAUGCUAAAAAUGUGAUUAAAUGUAAAAUGUGGCCUGGUAUGUAUGAAAAUGGUUCGGCUAGGCUUGGGUUUUGAAGACAUUGAAUACAUUUCAUUUUAUGAGCUUAGAAACUAAAUUGUAAAAAUGUGAAACAUUAGGGGCAAAAAUGUAAUUUUUCAUAAUAUGAUUUUUGGGCUAAAUUGAAUAAUGUGAGUAUUUAAUGAGUUAAAUUUGUUAUUAUAGAUCAAGAAAAAUGAGGUUUGGACCUAGAACGAGAGAAAAACAAAGUGUUUGAUGAUUAGAUCAAAAUCUACUAUUUUUGUACCGAGGUAAGUUCAUAUGUAAUUAAUGCAAUGUUAUAUUUAUGUUUUAAAUGCUUUAUUACUGCAUGAAUUGUGUGAUAGACUCUUUGGACAUAUUCGACAAAAUUUUGACAAGCAAGAAAUCCCGGUUGAACCUUAGGAAUAGAAUAGGAUACGAGUGACAUAUCACUAGGAACCCCAGGUGUAUAUAUGUUUAUGUGAUCCGGGUGGCUAGGUAUUUCGGCAUAUGUUGUGGUUACCUGAUAGCUUGUGUGAGUGGCAUUGUAUAGUUAUGUCCUGACUGGCAGCUUUUGUGAGCAGGCCUGUGAAUAGCUCGAGAGUGAGCCUAUAUGUGUUAUGAGAUAUGAGGCAGCUUUGACCACAUAUGUGGCAGUUAUGUGAAAGAUUUUCUGAGUAUCCGAUAAUAUUCCAAGUGUUCAACAGGAAUGUCAAAGAUGUGAAAGGAUAUGAGUUGGUAAAGGUAUGUACAUAGAACUCAUAAGUAAUAAACUCGAUGGGUGAUGAACUCUUGGUAAGGUUGUGACUGAGCAAGUUAUGACUAUGAGAUUUUAGUAACAUUUAUGUUAUCUCACUUUAUAUAAAUUGCAUGAUUAAGGUGUUGUUAAGAUGCAUAUUAUUUGCAUAUGAACUUACUAAGCUAUAUAGCUUACUCCCCUUUCUUUCCCUUGUCUUAUAGUGAAACCAAGCUAGCUCAGGUCCAGAGAUCGUCGGAAAUCCAUUUACACUAUCAACAAUUAUUUUGGUACCAAUGAAUUCAACAUUUUGAGUUAUGGCAUGAAUAGGGGACUUGGACAUUUUGUUAUGUGUCAUAAUUGAUUUGGCCAAAUGUGUUGGCUUAUAUUGGUUAGAAGUUCAUUUUGUAUAAGGACAAUGGAAAUGAGCCACUAUUGGUUAUAAGAAAUGAUGCCUUUCAUGAAUGAUGAGUUGAUGUCUUGGUUGUUGAUGUUUGGUUGUAUGUAUAUGCUUGGAUGGCAAAAUGGCUUGGUAAAUAGCCUUAUUUUUAUCCACACGGGUAGACACACAGGCGUGACACACGGUCUGCCCUAUGGGCGUGUGUUCCGACCGUGUGUCCCCUACACCUUAAUUUUUAGAAACAAAAUGCUCAAAAUUGAGUACACAGGCAGAGACACUGGCGUGUGUCUCAACUGUGUGGACGGCACGACCUCAAACACAGGCGUGUGCCCUGGUCGUGUGAAGCCUGCACCUAUUUCAUGAAAGUUAAUUUUUCAUACGGCUUAGCACACGGGCGUGUGACUUGGCCGUGUGAUCUCAAUUUGUUCAUGGGUUACAAGUCAGUGAGUUACACAGGGUCGGGACACGGGCAUGUGUAGCCACACGGCCUGCCCACACAGGUGUGUCCCACAUCCACACGGGCGUGUGACCCUUGUUUAGUGGAAAAUUUUCUAAGUUUUAUAAAAUUUUCUAAGGUUCCUGGUUUAGUCCCGAAUCACUUCCAAUGCACGUUUUGAGCCUCGUAGGCUCGUAACAGGGAUUUUAUGAUUAAAUGGUUUUAAUUUGGACGCAAAUUCAUGACUCGAAAUUGUAUGGUUAUUUGUGUGAUAAGUUCGGUAAUGCCUCGUACCCUGUUCCAGCAUUGAAUGCAGGUAAGGGGUGUUACAUUUAGCCUCUGACUGAACAACGGUGUCUUUUGCUCCCGUACGAGUAGUCCUACCAGUAUUGUUCUGACCCAGAUGUCCACCUUUCCGAGCAAUGGAAAUUUUCUUUUCAUUCUAUUCUUCAUUUUCUUUUACCUAUUUAGGACAAUUUUAGAGGAAGUGAUCAGUCGACCCACAUCUAUAACAAGCUCCCAACUUAGCUUUGCAUUUGCCAGGAUGAAAUUUUCCAUAAUGUUUACAACUGGGCUUCGGAGCAUUCCAUACACUUCCCACACUAUCAACUAGUUUUGUAGGAGUUUUAAAAUCAUCUUGAAUCGAUUUAUUUUUGUUCGGAUGCUCAGACAUUGAAGUAGCUUGGCUAAUGUCUUCUCUAGCCUUUUUUCUGGUGGUAGAAAAUAACUUAGAAGAACUUCUCUUGUUAAACUCUCGAAUCCGUCUAUCCUUUUGUAUCUUGUGGUUGUACACUUCCUCCAUUUUCUGUGCACGAUCAGAUAAGACAACAAAUUCUCGAAUUUCAUUACCUGCAAUCAUCAUUUUGAUUUUAUCAUUUAGACCAUCUUCAAAUCGGAUACACAUCUCUUAUUCAAUAGACACAAUUUCUCGAGCAUAUUUACUGAGAUAUACAAACUUUUUCAUGUAAUUAGCCACUGAAUUAUUUCCUUUUCGUAACUCAAGAAAUUUCCUCUUUUUCUUGUCCAGAUACUGUUUCCUGACAUACUUCUUUUUAAACUCGAUCUAAAAUAAAUCCCAAAAAAUUUUCUCUCUCAGAACCACAGGUACCAAUAUAGUCCGCCAAUUGUACGUUUCUUCUUUUAGCAAUGAAAUGACAUAUCUAAGAAAAUCAUUGGGAGGGCUAGCCAUUUUUUCGAAAACUCACAAGAUGUUCUAAAGUCAAUACUUAGCUUUAACUAGAUCAUCUUCUAAUCUACCUCGAAAUUCUUUGGCACCACACUUCCUAAGCUUUUCUAUCGGAAUUCGUCGACUAUAUUUAGUCAUAGGAGGAGGUGGAGGUGCAACAAGAGGUAUAAUAGGGGGUGGAGGUCAUUGAGUCAAAGUAUUAAUUUGCAUAAACUCACUAAACUACUGGUUCAUAAACCCAAAGAACAUGUUUUUAAGUUCAUGUUCUUGUACUUGUGGAAUCAGGAUAUUACUAUUCAUCGCUUGAUAUGAGGUUGGUAUAUUACUAUUAACAUCAUCAUUGUCAGCAUGAUCAAAUCCAUCUAGCAUCUUUACAAUCUAUAAGAAAAACAAAGGUUAGAUCAGAUCAAACACGUCACACUAUCACAGGUUAUAUGGCAUGUAAUUCUAGACAUUUAACAUGCUACAUUCAGUCUAAGAAUCAACUAAAUCGUAACUCUGAUAUCACUAAAUGUAACACCUCUAACCUGUUUCUGUCGCUAGAUUAGGGUUACAGAGUAUUAAAGAAAAAUAAAAAACAUAUGAACAUUUGAUCAAUCAGCAUAAUAAUCAUAUCAUAAACCAUUCAUACUCAUGCAAAACUUUCCUAAAUCGAGCUUUCGAGGCUCUAAAAAUAACCUAGAAAUAAUUUGGGACCAAUUUGAAACAUUUUAGAAAGUUUAGGAAAAGAUGCAUAAUUUAUGAAAUAGGGGUCACACGGUUGAGACACACGCACGUGUAUCAGGCCGUGUAACAAUCAAACUAGGGACGCACGGCCAUGUCCCAACCUAUCUCCACACCUGUGUAACUUUCUGAGUUGCCCCACAUGCCCGUGUGUCAAGCCGUAUGUUAGGCCGUGUAACUCACUAACUUGCACCCUAAAGAACUCAUUAGAUGACACACAGCCAUGUCACCAAGCCGUGUGUCUCACAUGGUUGAGUCACACGCCUGUCUCUCAGGUCGUAUGGACCCAAAAUAAACCUUAAACAACAAGUUUACCAAUUCAAACUUACUUUGACUCUAAGUAAUCCAUUUACCAACCAAAGACCUAUUCAAAGUGUCAUUAAACAAGCUAAAAACAUGCUAAAUCAACCAUCCUAAGUGCCUAACUAAUGUAUCCUCAUUGAUACUGCAAGUAUAUAUAUAAUUAUACAUCAAAAUGAAUCAUCAACCACAACUUAUCAAUUCACAAAGUCUAACACCUCACCAAUGUUUCUCUCAUAGGCACCUUAAUCACAAUAUUACAUUAACACAUAUCAUAAAUAUUUGCAUUAAAACAUCUUACCUCAUUCUCAUAUAUCAUUUAAGUUGAUUAUUUGCACUUACGAUCAUACUUAACAUUUUACCUAUCCUAAACAAUAGUAAUGACAUACAAGCCUAUUACAUGCCAUAUAAUCCAAAAUGAACGUUCCAAAAACUACCGAAAAUGAGAGUAUAGUGUGACUUGAGUGCUGAUCUGACUGUCCAACCUUCAACACAUCUAGAAGGAUAGAAAAUAACAUAAGCAAGCUCAUUGAAGCUUAGUAAGUUCGACAUACAAAAACAAUAAAUCUUACUGAAGUAAGUACAACAAAUCAAAUUAUAAUAAUACAAUCAUAUAUGUUCCCUAUCAUCCACAAUCUCACUGGUGAAUUGUAAAAUUCAAUCAAAACUUAAGUACAUGAACAAACCAUCAAAAAUCUAACUUACCAAGGUUUACAAUUUGAUGAACGACUUACAGAUAAGAGUACAUCAAUAUUCCAACCAAAACACACCAUAUGCUCAUAAGAGCUAAUCCAUCUAAAGCACAUUAGAUGUUCAUAAGAGCUAAUCCAUCCAAAACACACCAAUGGCUCCGAAGAGCUAGUCCAACCGAGACACACUAAAAUAGAGAGUAUAAAUAAGAGUUUGCAAAAAAUGUCGAACCUCGGUCUACUCGGGAAACAUAUAUAUCUCCACUCCUGUAACACCCCUUACCUGUAUUCACUACCAGAAUAGGGUUACAAGGUAUUACUGAUCAAUUCACAAUAUAUAACAUACAUAAAUCAAACUUAAAGCAUUCAUCUCAUAAAUCAUUUCACAUACUCACAUUGUCCGUUAUAUGGUCUUACGAGGCCUUAAACAUGCUUUAGAAAUGGUUCGGGACUAAACCAUAACAUAUAAAAUUUUUAGAAACUUAGAAAAAUUUCAAACAAACAAGGGUCACACGCUUGUGUGAACUGACUGUGUGCCUCACACGGCUCCAAACACGCCCGUGUCUUAGGCCGUGUAAAAAUAGGGCAUACAAACCAACUUGGGUUACAUGGCCGACCACACGCCCGCGUGUCUAACUCGUUGCCCUUCGAAAUGGCCACACACGCUCAUGUGCCAAGCCAUUUACUAGGCAGUGCCAAACCUGUAGGGUAUACUGACUUAUGCAACACGGCCAAGUCACACGCCCAUGUUCUAGGCCGUGUGCUAAUUAGGGGGUAUACUGACUUGUACCACACGGCCAGUCACAUGCCAGUGUGUGAGACUAUGUGGAGCAUACUGACUUCAAUUUAAUUUCAACACUAGGGGACACACGGCGUGUAGCAUGACCGUGUGUCACACAUGGCUGAGACAGACGCCCGUGUCUUUGCCCGUGUGGACAAAAAUAGGCCAUUUGCAAAGCCAAUUUGCCACCCCAAUUUCAAUGUACCUAUAUAAGGCAAAAUGGUACCAUUUCCAUACACAUUUAAACAGCCAAAUCAAUCUCAAAUCAUCACGUUAUAGACUAUUUCAAUUCCAAUCUAUUCAAAGCUUAUAUUACAAUCAUUUACUUAACUAAAUCACAUACAAAUCAACAAGAUUCAUAAGCCAAGAUUCACAUAUAUAACAUAUACUAUAUCAAUCUACUUUAUUAACCAAUUCAACAUUCAAAAACCAAACCAAAACCGAGUACAUCUCAAACUACUACAGAAGUCAGAUACUCAAAGAUUUUAAUCGAUAAGUAACUAUACCAUGGCCCAAAGCCAAAUCAAGGUAACUUAUCCCAGAGUACCUAUACCAUGGCUCGUAGCUAAAUCAAGGUAUCACUCACACCCGAAGUGUUGAUAUCAUGGCUCGAAGCCAACACAAUAACCUAAUGACAUGUCACUAGCAUCCUAAACUAUUCCUAAGUUUUAACUAGGAUUUUACGCUUGUUAGAUCAUCAUUGAAUCAUUCUCAAACUCAUCCGUAAUCAUAUUAUCACAAUUCAUGAUAUAUCAAAGCAUAUAAAAUACAUUCGUAAUGAAAUUAUAACAUACGAACUUACCUCAUUCGCUGUAAUGACGAAUUAAGUCAACUAAUUUUAUACUUUGUUUUCCGCCGUUCUAGAUCCAAAUCUCGUUUAUCUCAAUCUAUAUAAUAUCAAAAUUUACUUAUUUAAUCAUCAUUUCAUUCAAUAGCACAAUUUACACAUUUUGGUAAAAUCACAUUUUUUCCCCACUAUUUCGUAACUUUUACAAUUUAGUCCUUAUUUCACAAAAAUAAAAAUUCAAGCAAUUUAAUCCAAUUUCACCAUAGCCGAAUUUCACUAGUGUCCCUAGUAGCCCACAUAUUUCAUUUAUUUCACAUUGCAACCACUCAAUUUGCACUUUUCACAAUUUAAUCCCUUUUUGACAUUUUUGUCAAAAAUCACUUUACAAAACUAGUUUAACUAUUAACAAACUUUCAUAAUCUGUCAUAAUUCAUCAAAUUACUCAAGCAUUCAACAAUGGAAACUUGUUAAACCUUUAAAAAUUUCAAAAUCUAAGGUACAGGCUAGCUAGAAUACGAAGCAACGAUCUUUAAAAACGUAAAAAUCAUUAAAACAGAGCAAAAACAGACCUUCAAUUGAGCAUCAACAUGGCUGAACCCUAGCAAGCUUUCUUCCAUGGUUUUUCACCUCAAUAUUCGGUGGAAGAUAAAAAGUAACAAAGAUGAUAUCUUUGUUUCCAUUAUUUUAUUAUACCAAAUUAAUGAAUUACAUAUUUAUCCAUUAAUAACAACAUCAAAUUCACUUGAUAAAGUGCCCAUAAUUGUCCACUAUCUUUAUAAAUGGAAGAAUUACCACUUAAGGCCAACAUAUUUAAAAACCAUAGGAAUUAGACACCUUUUUAUUAUAGAACUCAAAUUUUACACUUUACGUGAUUUAGUCCUUUUUACCUAAUUAAGCAUUUAAACGGUAAAAUUUAUUUACGAAACUUUCACGUAAUAAUUCUAUCAUGCUGUAAACUUUAUUAAAAUAAUAAAAUAAAUAUUUUGACCUCGAAUUUAUGGUCCCGAAACCACUAUUCUGAUUUGACCCAAGAAUGGACUGUUACAACUCUCCCCCUUAGAGAUUUUCGUCCCCAAAAAUCUCACCAGAGAAUAAAAUGGAGAUUUGCUUUAUUAUAACCUUAUCAGUUUCUCAUAUAGCCUCGGAGUUCUCAACUCUUUAAUCUCAUGAGUUAAGAUUUUGAUCUAUCCUUCGCUAUACGUCAUAUCAAGCUGAAUUUCAUCUUCUGAAAAAGAUAUUAUAAACAAAGAGUCUUAUUUGAAUCAUCGCAUCAUAGAUAUAAGAAACAUAUUAUGGAUCUUCUCAAGUUCUAACAGUAAUAUAAGUUGAAUAAGCCACUGGCUUUAUUUUCUCAAUAAUCUCAUACGGCACGAUGAAUCACAAACUCAACUUCUCUUAUAGCUAAUUUGAAAAUUUCUAUUCUCACAACAAUGCUUUCAUAAACACUCAGUUCAUUAACUAAAAUUCAAUGCUUUUACGUAUCAAGUCUGCAUAUGUUUUCUUUCAAUCUAAAACUGCUUUCUAACUGUUACGAAUUACUUUCACUAUCUCUUCAAUUUCUCUGUUGAAAUAAAUCUCAUGAAUCUUUUUCUCACAAAGCUCUAUCCCAUAACAACUGAGUUCGGUAAUUGUAAUCAUACAAUAUUUUAUACAAUGUCAUCUUUAUACUCAUAUGAUAACUAUUAAUAUGCUCAAAUUCAACCAAUAUUAAUUGCCUUUCCUAAUUUCUUUCACAUAUUAAGAUACAGUAACAAAUCGUAUCUCGAGAAUUUGCAUCACUUUCCCAUAUUAUCCAUCAGUUGGAGAAUGAAAUAUUGUGUUACAAUGCAACCUCAUACCCAAAAUUUACAGUAGUUUUCUUUAGAAACACAAUAUAACCCUCAGAUCUUUAUCCGAAAUAAUGGAGACUGGCACUAUGUAAAAUUUUGACAAUUUCAGAAAUGUAUAACUUAGCUAGCCUAUCAAGAGAGAAAUUAUACAUAUUGAGAUAAAAUAAACAAACUUCUGCAACAAUCAACAAUAGUUCAGAUAACAUCUUCCUUUUACAAAAUCAAACGAAAUUUUAUUUCAUCUCCACUCAGAUAAUAGCACAGACUGUAACAGUCUCGAAGGUACUUGAUAAUCAACUUUAACCUAUUGAUAAAUCAGAUAUUUGGAUACAAGUCAGAAGUAUCAUGUUUUAGACUCAUUCACCAGUAAAAUUGUCUCAGAUUAUUAUACAUCUUAGAAUUCCCCGAAUGGACAGAUAAUUACCACUGUAAGCUAGAUAUAACAAUUGUUGUAUAAUCUCUGGAUUUCUUGGUACACGAACUCUGUCUCGAAACAACAAAUAAUCAUCGGUUCCAAUCUGAAACUCAAAAUCAGAAGUCAAUCCACGUUGAACUCUUUUAACUUUCAAUUCAUUGAUGCAUUUCUGAUAUUCACAAAAUAGAGGGAUAAACAUCAAUUUAGCUUUUAACUCAACUAAUAUCUAUCCAUCAUCUGAUAAGAUCAAUCGCGUAUUCAUCGCUUGUAAAGCACACAAAGAUUUCUUGCUUAAAAUAUUCGUGACUAUACUGUGUGUCCAAGAAGAUAACCAAUUACUGACUCAAAACCUUUCGACAGUUCAAGCUAUCUUUGCUGUCCCAAAUUCAGAUCUCUCUAUAACAUCAAAUAUUUUAAAUUCUUGCAGUCAUCCAAUAGGUUAUAUUACUCACCAAACAAUUAAUGUCGCUAACUAUUCAAUGCAAUUACAAUGUCAACCAUCUCUAAUUCACACGUCGAAUAACUCUUUUCAUGUAACUUUAACUGUAUGGAAGUGUAAGCCGUCACUGUACAUUCUUGUACUAAAACAUUCUCCAAACCAUUCAAUGACGCAUGACUGAAAAUCAUAAACUCUUUACCCAAUUCAGGCUGAACCAAAACUGAUGCUUCAGUUUACAGUGUUUUCAACUGUUUAUAACUUUAUUAACAUAUAUUAAACCAAAUUAAACUUUGCACAAAUGAAAACUUCAACAAUCGAAACAACUUUAAUUUACAAUAAUAUUUCUCAAACAGAACUGUUUCGAUGGAUAUAAUUCUAUAUCAUGUUUUCUAAAAUAUGAAUUCUUCAUUCAGACUAUUCAUCUAUUUACUUGUGAACACACAAAAUUUAUUCCCAAACCCAAGGAUAAACUCAAACACAUAUAACUCAAUUAACCUUUCAAACAAAUAACCCGAUCAAACUAAAUAACUUAAUAGAUCUUGACUGUCAAAUAAUAACUUUUCGAAGAAAACCUUUCUUUUUAGACAUACAACUUAUCACAAUUUCUUUAGGAUACUAGUCAUAGAUCUUCUUAAAAAAACUGCAUAAUUCGACUAUGACAUAACAUUCCGUCUUUACUCAUUGACAUAUAUCCAAAUUUACCUGAAAGUGAUAACUAUUAUACAGAUUUGAACUUGAUCUUCUCUUGUCUAUGCUUUUGCCAAUGUUAAUUCCCUUUUCAAGAAAACUAGAAAGGAUUUUAUAAUAAAACUAUCUCAACUAUUAAUCAUUGAAGCGUUAUAUUAUAUUGAAGCUACCUCCGUUAAAUAAAAAAAAAUCAAAAUGCCAUAGUAAGACCAACAUCUCAACCAUAUAAAUAGAUAAUAUCGCAGCUGUUAAUAGUGCAUUUUGAACAUAAAAAAUCAAAUAUAGUUUCAAUAAAAAUAAAUGUAGAAACAUAACCUCUAUAAAUCUGAUGACAAUACCACUGUACUCCCAUGAUCAAACUAGAAAUUAUAAUCAUAAUAAAUAUAUUCAUCCCCGUCAAAUGAAUAUCUCUUGCAAAUAAUCACUUAGAAUCAUAAUAAAACCGAGGUAGUGAAAUCUCAAGGUAUGGAACUAUACAAAAUUUUCGAAAAUUAUAACCCAUAUAGAAUGAUAAAGAUCUCAAUGAUAUCCGAGAGAAAUUCCAGAAGAAAACAUCACUCAUAAGCACUGAAAUCAAUUGUGACAAAAGUAAUAUAAUCUUCAUGUAUAUUCAACAAAACAAUAACCAAUAGAAACAAAAUACUAGCAUCACAUGGAUUUUACCGUUGACUUGUCCAUUAGCACAAUGGAAUAGAAUACUAGAGAAAGAUAGAGCAACGCCAAUCAUAACCCAAACAAACCAACAAUGCUUUCGUCUAUCAGUAUGUUUAGCUAGUGUUCUCAUACGAUAAGAGUUUCAUUCGAAAAUAAAUAGCCACAUAUACCUCUGAGAAUAAUUGAUCACGUAGAAUACCCAGACAAGAUCAUUAUAAGCUAUCCGACUAUAUUGCUAUACUCAGAUAUCUUUCCAGUUCAAACAUUAUUCCAUUUUCUAAUUUUGUCAUUAUUGAUUCCUCUUUAUCCCAUCACUAACAGAAAUCAGUUAAGUAGAACUUCCAGUUAAUACAUUAUUUAGAUAUCAUACCUGAAUAUUUUGUUUCAUCGAAGUUAACUUUUCUUUAAUAGUGCCUUUGCAUAAUCAAAAUAGCCUUCAAAAUAAUCCAAUAUCUCUUCUAGUACUGCCUUUAUUGUUGACUCAUUCUCUUACCUAACCACAGUAUUAAUCCUUCAAUCAUAGAACUCUAUAAUUCAACACUUGUGAACUUAUUCAAUCUAAAUCUUACAGAUUUCAUUAUAACACUACACUGAUAAAGGGGGUAAGGGUCGUAAAGCCUCAAAUUUAACUCUCACAUAUACAUGUACAUAACAUAACAUUUAUCAAUAACAUAAUAUUAUGAGCCUUUAUUCAUACCUCUAUGAAUUUCAACUCCUCAUAAACACAUUUUCGCUCAAAUAUUUGAGUACCACUUUCUACACUAUCGAAAUUAGCUCAGUUGGAAAGCAUAUCUGUCUAAUUAAAAUAAUUUUCGUCAAAUUCGGGAGAAAUAACACUAUCACAGGUUCUAUAUGACAUGUAUAGCUAGACUCACAUAUGCUACGUUAGUCCUAGAAUCAACUAAAUCGUAGCUCUGAUACCAAUAAAUGUAACACCUCUUACCCGUACUCACUAUCAGAAGAGGGUUACGAGGUAUUACCGAUCAAUUCACAAUAUAUAACAUACAUAACUCAAACAUAAAACAUUCAUUCUCAUAAAUCAUUUCACAUAAUCACAUUAUCCCUUAUAUGGGCCUACAAGGCCUUAAACAUGCUAUAGAAAUGGUUCGGGACUAAACCAAUAACAUAUAAAAUUUUUGGAAACUUAGAAAAAUUUCAAACAUACAAGGGUCACACGCCCAUGUGAACAGACCGUGUCCCUCACACGACUCCAGACACGCCCGUGUCCCAGGUCAUGUGGAAAUAGGGCAUACAUACUGACUUGGGUCACACAGCCGACCACACGCUCGUGUGUCUGGCCCGUGUGCCCUUUGAAAUGGCCAUACACGCCCAUGUUCCAGGCAUGUACUUGGCUGUGCCAAACUUGUAGGGAAUACUGACUUAUGCAACAUGGUCAAGUCACACAUCCGUGUGCUAGGCCGUGUGCUAAUUAGGGGGAAUACUGACUUGUACAACAUGGCCAGUCACACGCCCGUGUGUAAGACUGUGUGGAGCAUACUGACUUUAAUUUAAUUUCAACACUAGAGGACACAUGGCUGUGUAGCAAGACUGUGUGUCACACACGGCUGAGACACACACCCGUGUCUCUGCCCGUGUGGACAAAAAUAGGCCAUUUGCAAAGCCAAUUUGCCACCCCAAUUUCAAUGUACCUACUUUAAGGCAAAAUGGUACCAUUUCCAUACACAUUUAAAUAGCCAAAUCAAUCUCAAAUCAUCAUGUUAUAGACCAUUUCAAUUUCAAUCUAUUCAAAGCUUAUAUCACAAUCAUUUACUUAACUAAAUCACAUACUAAUCAACAAGAUUCAUAAGCCAAGAUUUACAUAUAUAACAUAUACUAUAUCAAUCUACUUUAUUAACCAAUUCAACAUUCAAAAACCAAACCAAAACCGAGUACAUCUCAAACUACUACACAACACAUACCAAAUGGCCAUUUGAAUAUCUUAAACCAUCAUUAAGCUUACCAAAAUAAUCCAUAUCACAUGGGAAUAUAUAUAUACUUUAAACCACAUAACUUAAUCAUGCCAUUUCAAAUAGCCAAAAACAUUUCCAACAACCAACCAAAGUAACCAUAACUAUACUUAUCAAACCUACAUCAUUGUCAGGCCAAAUCUAAUGGCUAAAUACACAUCAAGCAUAUACGCAUCAAUCACCAAUAUUACCUAUACUCAACAAAAAACCACAAAACCUAUACAUGCCAUAUAGCCAAUAUCACAAAGCUUAUUAGUACGAAACUAUAGCUGGACAGUGUGAUAUGAUCUCCGAUAACUUCCAACCCGAGCGAGCCUCUAAAUCACUAUAAAUAUAAAAAAGAUAACAAAGUAAGCUAUAAAGCUUAGUAAGUUCGUUUGAAUAAACUCAAUGUAAUCACAUAAAUAUAAUCCAAUAAUUUCAAUACAUUAAUAUGUACAAUCAAACCUUUCAAUUGCUCAUUCAUAAAACUAUAUACAUUCGUCAUCAAUCCUUCGAUUCAAAGCUAGAACGAAUUAUAUACAUACCUAUACCAAUUCGUACCAACCUCGUAAACUUUCUUGUCUUUCAUUUUCCUGUUGAAACAUUAGGAAUACAAGUUGGAUACUCAAAGAUUUCAAUCGAUAAAUACCUAUACCAUGGCCCGAAGCCAAAUCAAGGUAACUUAUCCUAGAGUACCUAUACCAUGGCCCAUAGCCAAAUCAAGGUAACUCCUCUCCGAAAUACCUAUACCGUGGCCCGUAGCCAAAUCAAGGCAUCACUCACACUUGAAGUGCUGAUAUCAUGGCUCGAAGCCAACACAAUAACCUAAUGACAUGUCACUAGCAUCCUAAACUAUUCUUAAGGUUCAACUGGGAUUUUACGCUUGUCGGAUCAUCGUCGAAUCAUUCCUGAACUCAUCCGUAAUCACAUUAUCACAAUUUAUGAUAUAUCAAAGCAUAUAAAAUACAUUCGUAAUGAAAUUAUAACACACAAACUUACCUCGUUCGUUGUAAUGACAAAUUAGGUCGACUAAUCCGAUACUUUGUUUUCCCUCGUUCUAGAUCCAAAUCUCGUUUAUGUCAAUCUAUAUAAUAUCAAAAUUUACUUAUUUAAUCAUCAUUUCAUUCAAUAUAGCACAAUUUACACAUUUUGGUAAAAUUACAUUUUUGCCCCUAAUAUUUCACAACUUUUACAAUUUAGUCCUUAUUUCACAAAAAUACAAAUUCAAGCAUUUUAAUCCAAUUUGACCAUAGCCGAAUUUCACUAGUGUCCCUAGUAGCCCACAUAUUUUAUUUAUUUCACAUUUCAACCGCUCAAUUUGCACUUUUCACAAUUUAAUCCCUUUUUGACAUUUUUGUCAAAAAUCACUUUACAAAACUAGUUUAACUAUUAACAAAAUUUCAUAAUAUAUCAUAAUUCAUCAAAUUAUUCAAGCAUUAAACAAUGGAAACUUGUUAACCCUUUAAAAAUUUCAAAACCUAAGGUACGGACUAGCUAGAAUACGAAGCAACGAUCUCAAAAACAUAAAAAUCAUUAAAACAGAAUAAAAACGGAUCUUCAAUUGAGCAUCAAAAUGGCUGAACCCUAGCAAGCUUUCUUCCGUGGUUUUUCACCUCAAUAUUUGGUGGAAGAUGAAAAAUAACAAAGAUGAUAUCUUUGUUUCCAUUAUUUUAUUAUACCAAAUUAAUGAAUGACAUAUUUAUCCAUUAAUAAUAACAUCAAAUUCACUUGAUAAAGUGCCCAUAUGUAACACCCCGUACCCGAGAUCGUUUCCGAAGUCGAACACGAGGUAUUUACGGACUUAUUUCAUUGACUUACACAGUUCAUUUUUUGUUUUUUUUCCAGACAAGCUGGCUAACUGCAUCACAGUCACUUUAAAAAUCAUAUCUCGAGUUCCGAAGCUCAAAAACUGAUUCCGUAAAUUUUCCCUGAAAUUAGACUCAUAUAUCCAUCUACAAAUUUUUUUAUAGAAUUUUUAAUCGGGCCAAUUAGUACAGUUUAUUAGUUAAAGUCUCCCCUGUUUCAGGGUUCGACUGCUCUGACCUUCAUGCAUUACGACUUAUAUAUCUCCCUGUACAGGGCUUCAAUACUUAUGCUGUUUGUUUCUAACGAAACUAGACUCAAAAAGGAAUCUAUACAUAUAUGGAAUGACCUCUAAUUAUCUCUGGUUAAUUUAUAGUGAAUUUCCAAAGUCAGAUUAGGGGAUCCAGAAAUCGCUCUGGUCCUGUGACAUGAAAACUUAAAUAUCUCUUAAAAUACGACUCAUAUGAUCGUUUCGUUUCUUCCAUAUGAAAGUAGAUUCAUCAAGGUUCGAUUACAUAAUUUAUUCACUAUUUAAUUCCAUUCCUAAUAUUUUUAGUGAUUUUUCAAAUUUACAUCACUGCUGCUGUCAGCAUCUGCCUUUAAGGUAGACUUUACCUAUUUCAUAGUUUCCAUGAUUCAACUAGCCCUUUAGCAUAUAUAGCACAAAAAUAUGAUCAUGAUUAACCAUUCCAAUGGCCAAUCAUUGCCAAGCAUAUCCACACCUCUCAAUAACCAUAUACAUACAAAAUGAUUAUAACACUAUGCUCAAAAUAUAUAAGCCAUUUUCGCAUGGCUAUCCAAAUAUAUACAACACCAAAGUACUUGACUAAUAACACAAGGGCAGUCCUAUACAUGCCAUUAGCAGAGUUCAACUAAAAGAGUACCAAAUGGGCUUUGAUAGUGUGGACGACUUCGACUUUGACAAUCCCGAGUCCGAUAGCUGAUGAACCAAAAACUAUAAAACAGAGAAUCAAAGAAACGGAAUAAGCAUUUAAUGCUUAGUAAGUUUUGAGCAAUGAAAUUAGAUACAAUUGAAGUAUAGCAUUCAUAUGACUAAAUUGAUAAUUUCAUAUACACACAUUCUCGAAAUCAUACCUACUUCACAUUACCAACCCUUAUACUCAUACAUAAGAGAUCAACUUAACCAAAAGCCGGAAGCUCAUUAAUCGACUGAGCGAAUACUAUUUAAAAGGAAUCAACUAAUCCAAUGCAUAUACGAAACAUACCUCAUCGUUGGGAUUUUACGAGCAUAUUAAUUGAAAUUAUUACAGCAAGAUCGCUCAUUCCCAAACCAAGUACCUUCGGGAUUUAACCGGAUAUAGCUACUCGCUCAAAUGCCUUCGGGACUUAGCCCGGAUAUAGUAGUUCGCACAAAUGCCUUCGGGACUUAGCCCGGAUAUAGUAACUCACACAAAUGCCUUCGGGACUUAGCCCGGAAUUAGUAACUCGCACAAAUGCCUUCGGGACUUAGCCCGGAAUUAGUAACUCGCACAAAUGCCUUCGGGACUUAGCCCCGUUAUCAUCCGAAUAUUCAUUCACAUAUCAGUAAAUCAUGACACAUCUUUAUUUCAUUUUCAUAACUAGAAUUCAAGCACAAGUCAAUUAUUAAGCAUUCCCAUUUUCGGCUCAAUAGCCACAUACAAACAGCAUGAUUUGGUUUGCUUUAUGACAUGAUCUCUAUGCACAUACGGCUACCCAUCAUACGUAUAGACUAAUUAACUCAACAUAUAAUUCAAGUAGAAUCAUUAUAUCACCGUAUAUUUGUUAUGAUUAUACGUCAUGACUUAAUCAAAUCGUAAACUAAGUUUCAUUACUCGAAAACUUACCUCGGAUGUUGUCGAACGAUUUCGACGGCUAUUCGAUCACUUUUUCCUUCCCUUUAUCGGAUUUAGUUCCCCUUUGCUCUUGAGCUUAAUUUAACAAAUAAAUUGAUUUAAUCAUUUGAACAUCAAAAAGAGAAACUCAAGGUACUUAGCCCAUAUAUACAUUAGACAUUAGAGUCACAUAUAUAUGAAAUAAUGAAUCAAACUCAACAUAUUAGCCCACACUCUCUUUUAGUCGAUUAUCUAAGCCAAGAUAAAAGGAUCAAUAUGCUUGCCUCUAACCGAAUACAUGCAACACCAAUCUACCUCAUGUGGCCGAAUAUGCAUGCCUAUGUUGAGGCCGAUUAUAUGCUUAAUACUUCCUACAAAUAUGGUUACUUGUAUUGACUACAUACCAUUUUGUUUCAAGUUCAAAACUCGGCUAAUACACAUAUAUACACUAGUAAUCAAGUACUAACAUUUGCACUUCACCUUACUACCAAUUCUCAUCUACUUCCUACCAUGGCCGAAUGCAUCAAGACACCAUACCAUUUCAAUUUUGGUCAUGGGUUAAACAAAGAACUUAAUGUCUAACUCAAAAAUGCUAAAAAGAAAAUCCAAGAGUCAUCAAUCACCAUCACAUGUAUCAUUACAAAGCUUUACACUUAGCAUGCAAAUGACAUCAACACAAGUCCACCUUAGCCGAAACUUAACUCAUCUUCAUGCCUCAUCACCACAACAUCAAACACCAACCAAGAAGACAACACCCAUGACCGAAUAUCAUCUCCAUCUCAUAGCAAAGAUUUAAACCAUGGGCUAGGUAGAACUCAAGCUAACAACUAAAAACAUGCAUGAAUCUCAUGGAACAACAUCAACAUACCUUAGUCUAGUGAACCACCAUAGCCGAUUUUCUCCAAGCUCUUUCCCUUCUUUUUCUUUCUUCUAUUCGGCCAAGUUGAACAACAUGAGAACUUUUUCUUCUUUUUUUUUCUUCAUCAUUUUCCUUUUCAUUAUUUUAUUACCAUACUUCUUAUUUUAUCAUUCCUCCCAUGAAACACUAACAUAACAUGUUUAUAAUCCCUUUUUACCCAUAGCAUGGCCGGCCACCAUCCCAAGUUUUGGGUAUUUUGACAUGCAAGGACAACAUUUUCUAGCAUGCAUCAAUAGGCCACUUUAACAUUUGCCUAGCACAUUUCUAAAUUUUCUCACACAAGUCCUAUUUAGCAAAAUUCACUUACAAUUAACAAAAUUCAAACAUGAAAUUUUCACACAUGCCUAUAUACAUAUAAUAAGCAUCAAAUAUAAUGGUUAAUUAUUUUUAUGACUCGAUCUUGUGGUCCCGAAACCACUUUCUGACUAGGGUCAAUUUAGGGCUGUCACAACUCUCCCCCACUUAAGAAAUUUUCGUCCCCGAAAAUCUUACCGGUAAAUAGGUUUGGGUAUCGUUCUUUCAUAGAGUUCUCGGUCUCCCAAGUAGCUUCUUCCAUCCCAUGUUUGAGCCAUAACACUUUUACUAAAGGAACCUUUUUGUUUCGUAACUCUUUCACUUCACGAGCCAGGAUACGAAUCGGUUCUUCUUCAUAACUCAUAUCGGUUUGAAUUUCAACCACUGAUGGAUUAAUUAUGUGCGAUGGAUCAGAUCUAUAACGUCGAAGCAUCGAAACAUGAAAAACGUUGUGGAUCCUUUCAAGUUCAGGGGGUAAAAGCAACCUAUAUGCAACUGGACCAACUCGUUCGGAGAUUUCAUACGGCCCAAUAAAUCUCGGACUCAAUUUGCCUUUACGGCCAAAUCUGAGUAUCUUUUUCCAAGGUGAAACUUUAAGAAACACUUUAUCUCCCACUUGAUACUCAAUGUACUUUCGUUUCAAAUCCGCGUACGACUUCUGACGAUCUGAUGUUGCCUUCAGACUUUCACGAAUUAUUUUUACUUUCUGCUCAGCAUCUUUAAUCAAAUCAACUCUGAAAAUUUUACUUUCACCGAGCUCGGUCCAAAACAAUGGUGUACGGCAUUUUCGACCGUACAAAGCCUCGUAAGGCGCCAUCUUAAUGCUUGACUGAAAACUAUUGUUGUAAGCGAGCUCAAUCAAAGGUAGAUUCCGUUCCCAUGAACCACUAAACUCAAGGAUGAAGCAUCUCAACAUAUCCUCGAGUAUCUGAAUUAUCCGCUCGGACUGACCAUCGGUUUGGGGAUGAAAAGCGGUGCUAAAAUGCAACUUGGUACCCAAAGCUUCUUGCAAUUUCUUCCAAAAUCGCGAGGUGAAUCUCGGAUCUCUAUCCGACACAAUAGAAAUGGGUACCCCGUGUAAUCUCACAAUCUGAGAAACAUACAAUUCAGCUAGUUUAUCCAGUGAAUAAUCCGUACGUACGGGAAUAAAAUGAGCCGACUUAGACAGUCUAUCAACAACAACCCAAAUUGCAUCUUUCUUACUUGUCGACAAUGGCAACCCAGACACAAAAUCCAUCGUGACUCGAUCCCAUUUCCAUUCAAGUAUCAUGAUCGGCUGGAGUAAACCCGUAGGCACUUGAUGUUCCGUUUUCACUUGUUGGCAUACUAAACACUUCGAAAAAAAAUCAGAAAUGUCUCGUCUCAUACCAUGCCACCAAAACUGACGUCUCAGAUCGUUGUACAUUUUCGUGCUCCCCGGGUGAAUUGACAUUCGGCUACUAUGAGCUUCGUUCAAAAUCAUCGAAAUAAGUUCUGAAUUUCUUGGAACACACAAAUGACUUCUGAACCUCAAACAAUCGUCGUCAUCAAUUUGAAACCCUGAUUCCCUGUCCGAAACACAUUCAGCUCAUUUUGCAACUAGUUCAUCAUCGACUUUCUGAGCUUCACAAAUUUGAUGAAUCAACAAUGGUUUGGCCUUUAAUUCUACCACUAACACAUUGUCGGAUAGAACAGACAAGUGUACAUUCAUCGCUCGUAAAGCAAACAGUGAUUUACGACUUAAGGCAUCCGCAACCACAUUAGCCUUUCCCGGGUGAUAGUCAAUGACAAGCUCAUAAUCUUUCAACAACUCGAGCCAACGUCUUUGUCGCAGAUUCAAGUCUCUUUGAGUCAUCAAAUAUUUGAGACUUUUGUGAUCCGAAUAUACAUGGCACUUCUCACCAAAUAAGUAAUGUCGCCAUAUUUUCAAAGCGAACACGAUGGCAACUAGUUCAAGAUUAUGGGUCGAAUAAUUUUUCUCAUGUGGCUUCAGUUGUUUCGACGCAUAAGCUACAACUCGACCCUCUUGCAUCAAUACGCAGCCCAACCCAAGUAGGGAUGCAUCACUAUAAAUGAAAAACUCUUUGCCUGAUUCGGGCUACACUAGUACUGGAGCUUCAGUCAAACAAGUUUUCAGUUGAUCGAAACUUUUCUGACACUUUUCUGUCUAUUCAAACUUAACAUCUUUCUGAAGUAGUUUCGUCAUUGGUGUGGCUAUCAUCGAGAAACCCUUUACAAAGCGUCUGUAGUAACUGGCAAGUCCCAAAAAGCUCCGAACUUCAGUAAUAUUUCUCGGAGGCUUCCAGUUAAGUAUGGCCGAAAUUUUGUUCGGAUCAACUCGAAUACCCGAUGCACAUACCACAUGACCCAAGAAGCUAACCUCUCUUAACCAGAACUCACACUUACUGAACUUAGCUGCUUAUCCCGUAAAAUUUGCAACACUAAUCCCAGGUGUUCAGCAUGAUCGGUUUCAUUUCUCGAAUAGACCAAAAUAUCAUCGAUAAACACAACUACAAACCGAUCCAAAUACGGUCUGAAGAUCCGAUUCAUCAAAUCCAUAAAUACCGCGGGGGCAUUAGUGAGCCCAAACGGCAUCACUAAGAAUUCGUAGUGAUCGUAUCUCGUUCUGAAAGCAGUUUUGGGUAUAUCUGAAUCUCGAAUUCACAACUGAUAAUAACCCGAUCUCAAAUCUAUCUUUGAAAACACUGAGGCUCCCUUUAGUUGAUCAAACAAAUCGUCAAUGCGCGGUAUCGGAUAUUUAUUCUUUAUUGUCACCUUAUUCAGCUGACGAUAGUCGAUGCACAACUUCAUGGUUCCGUCCUUCUUUUUCACAAACAAUACUGCUGCACCCCAAGGUGAGAAACUUGGUCGAGCGAAACCUCUAUCCGUCAACUCUUGCAACUGAGCUUUCAAUUCCUUUAAUUCUGUUGGUGCCAUACGAUACGGAGCUAUCGAAAUCAGUGUAGUCCCAGGUACAAGCUCAAUACCAAACUCUACCUCCCGAACAGGUGGUAAACCUGGUAAUUCUUCGGGAAAAACAUCCGGGUAUUCACAAACCACUGGCACAGAUUCAGGCUUCUUUUCUAACUCUUUGUCAUCAAGUACAUACGCAAGGUAUGCUUCACACCCCUUUCUUACAUAUUUCUGAGCCAACAUCGAUGAUAUUACAGCUGGCAACCUAUUCAAGUCAGUAGACUCAACUCGGAUCAUCUCAUUAUUUGCACACCUCAAAUCGAUAGUUUUUCUUUUGCAAUUCACAAUUGCAUCGUGAACGGUUAGCCAAUCCAUACCGAGGAUAACAUCAAAUUCAUCAAACGGUAAAAGCAUCAAAUUGGCCGGAAAGUAGGAACCUCUGAUUUCUAAGGGACAUUUCUUACACACUUUGUCGACAAGCACAUAACGACCCAAGGGAUUUGACACCCUAAUUACGAACUCAGUAGACUCAACAGGUAAAGUCUUACUGGUUGCUAAGGUUUCACAUAUAUAAGAAUGAGUAGAACCAGGGUCAAUCAAAGCAAUCACAUUAGUAUCAAAGAGAGUGAAAGUACCGGUAAUAACAUCAGGUGAAGAAGCAUCCUCGCGUGGACGUAUAGCAUAAGCUCUAGCAGGCGCACGAGCCUCAGAUCUGGUUGUAGCAUCUCUAGAUCCUCUCUGACCGCCACUAGCAUUGCUCGUGUUUCUAGACGGUCUACCCCGAGCAGUAGUUGCACCUGGUUUCCCACUCUGAUUUUCAUUUUGUUCAGACAGUCUCGGGCAAUCCUUGAUAAAAUGGUCAGCUGAUCCGCAUUUAUAACAUGAGCGGUCAUGGAAUAUACAACUCCCCGAAUGCCAUUUACCACAAUACUGGCACUCCGUUCUGUCUCGACGAUCGUUUCCAACACUAGCGACCGAAGUGACUCGUGUACUCACAAGGGGUCGGUCACGAUCUCGUCUAGAAAAACCCAAAGUGUCUCUAGACUGGCCUAAGUCAUCUCUAAAUUUCUUCGAUGACUGUUGGAAGGGCUUUCCCGAAGAUCUCUUACGAAACUCCUUUGCUCCCAUAUCAACUUUCCUUUUCUCCUUACUGAGCUCCUCGGCUUUGCAAGCUCGCUCGACAAGUACCAUAAAUUCUCGGAUUUCUAAAAUGCCAACAUACAGCUUUAUAUCAUCAGUCAGUCCAUCCUCGAAACGUUUACACAUCACGGCUUCUGAAAAAAUGCAUUCUCGAGCGUACCGGCUAAGCCUUACAAACUUUCGUUCAUAAUCGGUAACCGACAUGGAACCUUGUUUAAGUUCAAGAAAUUCAUUCCGUUUUUGAUCCAUGAAUCUCUGACUGAUAUACUUUUUCCGAAACUCAGUUUGGAAAAACUCCCAAGUUACUUGCUCUCUAGGCAUAACAGAAGUCAACGUAUUCCACCAAUAGUAGGCAGAAUCACGUAUCAAGGAGAUAGUACACUUUAGGCACUCAUUGGGUGUGCAAGAUAGCUCAUCGAGUACCCGAAUAGUGUUGUCCAACCAAAAUUCAGCUUGCUCGGCAUCAUCGCUGUCCGUAGCUUUAAAUUCAGUAGCCCCGUGUUUUCGGAUUCUAUCAACUGGGGGCUUAUUUGACCUUAUUUGGUCAGUUGCCGGAGGUAUUGUAGGUGCGGGGGUGGUAUUAGUCAGGAAUGGAGGUUGUGGAACAGCCGUAUUAGUUCGAAUGUAUUGGUUGAACCAAUCAUUCAUCACGCUAUAAAAAGCUUGUCUAGCUUCAUCAUUCGGAUUACUAGCAAUAGGUUGAGAGUCAGCCGGUGCUGUCCCUUGUGCGGGAGCAGGCGCUACACUCUCAAGAUCAUCAGCUACCGCUCGGUUGGGAUCGGGAUCCAUUACUAUAAAUAAACACAUUUUCAAUUGUCAGAAAUCACCACACUAUCAAAUAAUCACAUAAUGGCAUGUAUAGCUAGACCCAAACGUAUUACGGUAGUCCUAGAAUCGAUUAAACCGUAGCUCUGAUACCAAUAAUAUUGUAACACCCCGUACCCGAGACCGUUGCCGGAGUCGAACACGAGGUAUUUACGGACUUAUUUCAUUAACUUACACAAUUCAUUUUUUUUUCAUCAUUUUCCUUUUCAUUAUUUUAUUACCAUGCUCCUUAUUUUAUCAUUCCUCCCAUGAAACACUAACAUAACAUGUUUAUAAUACCUUUUUACCCCUAGCAUGGCCGGCCACCAUCCCAAGUUUUGGGUAUUUUGACAUGCAAGGACAACAUUUUCUAGCAUGCAUCAAUAGGCCACUUUAACAUUUACCUAACACAUUUCUAAAUUUUCUCACACAAGUCCUAUUUAGCAAAAUUCACUUACAAUUAACAAAAUUCAAACAUGAAAUUUUCACACAUGCCUAUAUACAUAUAAUAAGCAUCAAAUAUAAUGGUUAAUUAUUUUUAUGACUCGGUCUUGUGGUCCCGAAACCACUUUCCGACUAGGGUCAAUUUAGGGCUGUCACACCAUAAUUGUCCACUAUCUUUAUAAAUGGAAGAAUUACCACUUAAGGCCAACAUAUUUAAAAACCGUAGCAAUUAGACACCUUUUUCUUAUAGAUCUCAAAUUUUACACUUUGCACGAUUUAGUCCUUUUUAUCGAAUUAAGCAUUUAAACGAUAAAAUUUCUUUAUGAAACUUUCAUGUCAUAAUUCUAUCAUGCUGUAAACUUUAUUAAAAUAAUAAAAUAAAUAUUUUAACCUCGGAUUUAUGGUUCCAAAACCACUUUUCUUAUUUGACACAAAAAUGGGCUGUUACAACUCCACUCCCUAUAAUACACUAUAUCUCGAUUGUACUCUAUCCCACAUUUAAACCAAUCCAAAAAUCAAAAUUCAAUAACAUCGCUCAAAUAACCUUACAUCAUCUAUAAUCAAAUAUAUCUAUUAUACUAUUUUAUGUCAUCCAACAGCUCAUAUAGAUGUUAAAUUUUAAACCGUACGAACUUACCUGGACUGAAUUGUAGUAGUUAUAGAAGUUCAGGGACUAUUCUAUAAUUUUUUCCUUUUCAAUGAGUAUCAAUUGGGUCUUGAUCUAAAAUGCAAAAUUUAUCAAUUAUUAGCUUACAUUUCAUAUUCCAAUUCAUUUUAUAUUUUAUACCCUUUUAUUUUUUAAAUUUAUACAAUUACCCCUAACUUUUACAACUUUUGCGAUUUAGCCCUUUAACCUGAAAAUCAUUAAAUUAACCAUUUUUCUCAAAUCAACAUUGCAGAAGAAUAUACUAGGCCCUUAAAAAGUCCCUAAUAAACAUCAAAUUUACUAUCAAACCCUAAAAUUUUGACAUUUUCACAAUUUAAUCCUUAAAUCAAAAUCUAACAAAAAUCACUUCACAAAAUCACCAUACAACAUAAUCAAAGCUUCAAAUACAUACUUAUCAUAAAAAAAUUCAAUAUUCAUCAAUGGAAACUUCUAAAAUUUUUAACAGAUUCAAAAACGAAGGUAGGGUUAGCUGGACCUAGUUGCAACGAUUUCAAAAACAAAAAAAUUAUAAGACAUAAGUGAGAAUUGAGCUCACAUGCAUAAGGAUAAAGAAACCAAAACUUGAAGCUCUCUCCAAUGGUGGUUUCAGAAAGGUUGAAUAAAAAUGAAUUGGAAAUUUCUAUUUUUUUCAAUUUGUUUUCUUUAAUUUUAGUUUAUUUACUAUUAUGCCAUUAACUUAUAAUAUUCUAUCAUUUUUAAUUGUAAUUGUCGUACCAUACAUUAAUUAAGUCUUAAUUACCAUAUAUAUCCUCACUCAAUUACUAAUUGAGCCAUUUGAUCACCUAAAUGCAUUAAUUAACAAGUUUUGCACUUUUUACAAUUUAGUCCUUUUUCUUAAAUUAGCUACCUAAACGAUAAAAUUUCCUAAUCAAAUUUUAGUACGACUCUAAUGAAUCCAUAAAUAUUUUAUAAAUAAUACUUACAAGUUGACUCAACAGAAAAUUAUGGUCCCAAACCAUUGUUCUGUCACCAUUUAAAAAUGGGUUGUUACAUUUAAUCAAUUCCGAGGUACAACGAUGUUCUCAAAGACUGAUCUUUUGGCAUGUUGAAAAAUGAUUUUAGGAAUUGGUAUGGGCAUUAUGAGUUUUUGGUAAAGCCGUUUGGAUUGACUAAUGCUUCUAUUGCUUUCAUGGAUUUAAUGAAUCGUGUGUUUGAUUCAUACUUAGACUAGUUUGUGGUUGCCUUUAUAGAUAAUAUCUAGUGUAUUCUAGUUCUGAAGAGGAUCAUGAUGAGCACUUAAGGGUUGUUUUGUAGAUUCCUCAAGAUAAACAGUUGUUUGCGAAGUUAAGCGUGAAUUUUGGCUUAGAAAAGUGGCGUUCGUAGGUCAUGUUGUAUCGGCAGAAGGGAUUCGAGUGGAUCCAAGAAAGAUAGAGGCAAUUUUGAAAUGGAAGCCACCUAGGAGUGUUACUAAAUUUAGGAGUUUAUUGGGUUUAGCUGGUUACUAUCAUAGGUUUGUUGAAGGGUUUUCUCUUACUGUUGAACAUUUGAAAAAACUACUUCAGAAAGAUGUGGUAUUCGAAUGGAUUGAUGCUACACAAAAGAAUUUUGAUGAGCUUAAGGCAGUUUUGACUAAAGUGCCAGUGUUGAUUCAACCAUAACCUAGGAAAGAUUUGUAGUUUAUAGUGAUGCUUCGUACUUGGGACUUGGUUGUGUUUUGAUGCAAAAGGGUAAAGUUGUGGCUUAUGCUUCAAGGCAGUUAAAGACGCAUGAACAGAACUAUCCUACUCAUGAUUUAGAGUUAGCCGUUGUGGUAUUUGCACUAAAGAUCUGUCAUCGUUAUUUGUAUAGAGAAAAGUGUGUUAUCUAUAUGGAUCAUAAGAGCCAUAAGUACCUCCUCACCCAAAAGGAGUUGAAUUUAAGGCAAAGACGUUGGAUUGAACUGUUAAAGGAUUAUGUUUGCAUGCUUGAGUUUAGCUAGUAAUGGUGGUUUGUGCGCUACACUUCAAGUAAGGUUGACUUUGUCGCAACAGAUUAAGGAAAAGCAACCGUUAGAUGAAAAUUUACUGAAGAGGAUUCAACAGGUUGAGCAAGGUAUUAAGGGAGACUUUGAUGUUGAUAGUGAUUGUAUCUUGAAUUUUUGAGGUAGAUUGUGUGUAUCGCAAGAUGUGGAUUUAAGGCAAGCGAUCCUUACUGAGGCACAUAGUAGCCCUUAUGCUAUGAAUCCCAGUAGUGGUAAAACAUAUCAUGAUCUUAGGGAAGUUUAUUGGUGACCUGGUUUGAAGCAUGACGUAAUGAAUUUCGUGGUUGAUGUUUGGUUUUUCAAAAGGUGAAAGUUGAACAUCAAUUUCCUUCAGGGUUGUUGCAGGCUAUUGCGAUUCUUGAAUGGAGAUAGGAAAGGAUUACUAUGGAUUUUAUUUUGGGUUUGUCAUUGACUCCUUCAAGGAAAGAUUUAAUAUGGGUUAUAAUUGAUCAGUUUUUGAAAAGUAAGCAUUUCUUAGCGGUGCGAACCAAUUAUUCGUUGCAAAAGUUAGCGGAGUUAUAUACUGAUGAGAUUGUUCGUCUUCAUUGGUUCCAGUUUCGAUUAUUUUGGAUAGGGGUUUGAGGUUUACUUUAAGGUUUUGGAAGAGUUUACAAGAAGGUUUGGGAUCGAAGCUUAAUUUUAGUACGACUUAUCACCCCUAAAUUGAUAGCCUAUCUGAGAGGGUAAUUCAAGUUUUGGAAGAUAUGUUGCGAAGUUGUGUGAUUGAAUUUACUGGUAGUUGGGAGUGAUGUCUACUAUUAGCAGAGUUCACUUACAAUAACAAUUUCCUAGCAAGUAUUCACAUGGCACCGUUUGAGGCGUUAUGUAGAACUCAUUUGUGUUGGACGGAGUUGGAUGAGAGAUGAGUUGUUAGACAAAUUUAGUUCUUGAGACAAAUGAGAAGGUAAGGCUGAUUUGUGAUUGUUUGAAAAUAGUGUCAGAUAGGUAGAAAUCUUAUGCGAAUUUGAAGCGUCAACAUAUCGAGUUUGAAGUUGGCAGUAAGGUAUUUCUGAAGGUUUCACCGUGGAAGAAAGUUUUGAGAUUUGGUAGGAAGGGUAAGUUAAGUCCAAGAUAUAUUGGACCUUAUGAGGUUGUUCAGAGGAUUGGUUCGGUAGCUUAUCGUUUCAAGUUGCCACCAGAACUUGAGCGAAUUCAUGACUUUUUCCAUGUGUUUAUGUUAAGGAAGUAUCAUUCAGAUCUGUCGCAUUUAGUUCCAAUUGAGGAAAUUAAAAUUUGAGAUGAUAUUUCUUAUGAGGAAGAACCAAUUGAGAUUUUAUAUUAUAAAAUGAAAGUGUUGCGAAACAAAAGACUUCCAUUGGUUAAAAUUUUGUGGUAAAAACACAAAGUGGAAAAAGCUACUUAGGAAACUGAGGAAGCAAUAAGACAUCAAUAUUCGUAUUUGUUUAGCUCAGGUAAUUUCGAGGAUGAAAUUCUUUUUAGAGGGGGAGAAUUGUAACACCCUAAAAUAGGGCCUAGGAGUUUUAAGGGUAUUUUAGGAAUUUUAGUCUAUAUGAGCUCGAAAUUUUGUAAGGUUAGUACUCGACAAUGUUUUCGACUAUGGCAUCUUAACUUUUUAAUCAAUUUUUGAAAAAGUGUUCUAGAAACCCUUAAUUUUAGAGGAAGAACUAAUUUGUAACAAAGUCAAAUUAGUAGGCAUUUAUGUCGCAAUUUUACCAUUUUGUAAAAUUGAACCUAUUUCUUCCCCCGUCAACUUGUUUUUCGCGUCUAUUUCUUUUCCUUUCAUUGUGCUUGCCGCCCCUUCCCAUUCCCUUUCUCUUUAACUUGAUUUUUUAUUUUUAAACCACAAUACAUUGAUUUCCUAUAACUCCUAAGUCAUUUACCAUAAAAAAAAUCCCUAAGAAAAACACCCAAAACUUUAUAAAUUUCAUCAUCUUCUUCAAACGUGGGUUUUCUAGAUUUUUGUCAAAACUUGUUCAUUCUUCCAACAAAGGUAAUCAUUAAUGUAUCCAUUUGUUUUUAAUUUUAUUUAGACUCUAAAAUUGAAUUAUUAGCCCUCAAAUCGCAUGAAUUAGAUAAAAGCCGAAAAUUGAACCAUUAAUGAUGGAUUUCGUGAUUUUGAGUCAAAACAUGGUUUCAAAGUGUUUUUCAACUUGUUUUUAGCAUGGUUAGAAGGUUUUAAGCUUAUCUUGAAGUUUCGUUAAUGAUUUCUCAUGUUUUAAUGAAUUUUGUGAAAAUUACCUAAAAGAUGUCGAAAAAUGUCGAUACCAUGAAUUGAGUAGAUUUGUCUAGUUUGAAGGUUACAAAUCGCGUAGAUUAUUAAGUGGAUGAACGGAACUGAUUUUGUGCAAAAUUUUGAGUAUAAAUUGAGAUAUUAGUUCAAAAAGUUUGUUAUGUUAAAAGUUUAAGUCACAUGAGAACUUAGCUUAAAGGUUGUGUUUUAGUUUGUUUGAGCGAAUUAUUGGUUGAUAUUUUACUAUUGUUAUUGUAUGAUUUAUGUGUGUAAAGCUUCAUAUUCGUUAGAGCUUGCUACAAGCUAGGGAAGUGUUAGUUGAGCUUUCGAUUUUUUGACAAAAGCAUAAAGUGGUAAGUGUAUGAAAUUGCUACUCGUAAACAUGAGUCAUGUGUUAGUUGGGAAUUUAUAUGUAGCCUAAACCCUAUUCUAAAUUCCAAGUGUAAGUUUUCUUGAAACUAUAGUUAUCUUGUGGUUAAAUGGUUAAAUAAUAUGCAUGAUAUGUGAUAUGUGGAUAUAGUGACUAUUGUGUGAAGUGCAAUUAUGUUCAUGAAAUUAUAUCCUAUAUGACCAUGCUGGUGUUUUGCAAAAGAUGUUAAUAUGCAGCGAUGGUGAACGGUUAAUCGGUAAGUAAUAUGUGUUAUUUUUGAAUAUUUUGUCUUUGUGAUUUUGGAACCAUUGGAUAUAGUUGGUAUGCUAUAGGAUUGUAAGUACUCACCCAUAUGUAUAGUGAUUUAGGGCGUUAAGGCCCUGGGACAUGUUGGAGGGAUAAGGGAAAAUGAGCUAAGCUCCAUUCAACGAGACAUGUUAGGGGGACUUAAUAGAGUGUUAAUUGCAUGCUUCACUACUGCGACAUGUUUGACUUUACGAGUUUAUGUUUGGUGUGUUGGAGAUCCGUGUAUCCGAUGAGUGAUGAUAGAGCUCACUAUAUGUUUCACAACUCAAGUGCCAAUCUAUCUUAUCUUUUAUGACUGUGGAAAUAUGUAUCUAUGCUUUAUGUGAUGAAAGCUUGAAUGAGUAAAUUAUAUAUGUGUUAUGAGAAUGACCUACUAGAUGAUCAUGAGUUAAUACUUUAUGAUGCUAGACUUAAGAAUGUGGUGCUUGUGAGUAGUUGAUUGGUCGUGUUACAUGAUGACAUGAGUAGUUGAUUGGUCGUGUUACAUGAUGACAUGUUUACGUUGUAGAAAUUCUUGCAUUCACUGAGCUUGCUGAAGUUCACCCACUCAUUUCAACCUAUGCAGAUUAGGGAAGUCACGGUGUGGGCAGUGUGGUUUCUAAGGGAGUUGUAAUAUCCCGAAUUAGGGCCUAAUCAAAAUAGUGGUUUCGUGACCACAAAUUUGAGAUAAAAAUAAUUAUUUUAUAAUUAUUUUGAUUUUUAUGAUAUGAUUGCAUGAUUGUGUGAAAAUUUCGUGAUGAAAUCCUAUGCUAAAGUGCUUAAAUUGAAAUUAGGGACUAAAUCGAAUAAUUUGCAAAACUUGCAUUCUAUUAGUUUUUAGUAUGUAAUUGUUUUGGAAUAUUAAUGAGGAGGUCUUAAAUAGCAAUUUGACCAAUUUCUAAGUCUAUGGACAAAAAUUGGACAUGGAUGGAAUUUUUGGAAAGUUUAGUAGUAAGGGCAUUUUGGUUAUUUAGUUAUUAAAAUGAAUUAAAAACAAAAUUAAAAGCCAAUUUUUGUCCAUCUUCUUCAUUAGGCCGAAAUUUUAAGGUUCCUCCAUAGUUAGGGUUUGUUUCAAGCUUCCAAGCUCCAUAGUAAGUGAUUCCAAGCCCCGUUGUUAAUGUUCUUUACGUAUUUGGAAUCCCAGUACCUCGAUUAAGCUUAUGCUAGCAAUAAUUCAACCUAGGGUUCAUAUUUGGAAAAAUACCCAUAGGUGAAAUUUGUGUAUUUUGGUGUUUUAUGAUAGAAUAUGAGGUUUUAAAUUAUGUUAGACAACUUGUACUACUCGAUUUUAAGCGAAAACGAGUAAAAGGGCUUAAUCGGUAAAAAUACCUAAUAGUCAUAAGUACAUGUUAGAGUGUGAAUUUGAUGUUGCCAUAGAAGGGAAAAUGGUCAGCAUAUCAUAAAACAUAAGAAUAAGGGAUGAAGUUUAAUUCCCGAGCCUAGGGGAAAAAGUGUAAUUAUGAAAAAGUUUAGGGGCAAAAAUGUAAUUUUUCCAAAGUUCGUAUUAAAUGCUGUUUUGAUGAAUGUAUGUAUUAAAUAAGAUUAAUUUGGCAUUAUAGAUCAAGAGAAACAAGAUUCAAGUCGCGAUCGAGGGAAAAACAAAGUUUACGAAGAAUAGGCUCGAUUGCUAAUAAUUUUGUACCGAGGUAAGUUCAUGUGUAAAUGUAGUAACAUAAUUGUCAUUUUAAGCAAUUUAAUGUUGUUUAUAUGAUAUGAUGCUGAUUAUUGUCAUGAAAUAUUAUGCUUUGUGGUUAUUGUUGAAUGAUAUGUAAUUAUGUGAAUUACUUGAUGAGUAUGAACUAUCAUCGAAGUAUCAAUUUCGAUAUUCCGUGGAAGAUGGCAAAGAUGUGUGAUCGAGGAAAAUGCCCGUUUGAACCUUGGGAAUAGAUUAGAAUACAAGUGACAUGUCACUAGGAUGGUUGAGUUCCGAACUCGUUGAGUUGAGUCCGAGUUCGUGAGAUGUAACUAGGCAUCCGAGCUCGUUGAGUUGAGUCCGAGUUCACUUAUGGAUGCGAACGCCCGAGCUCGUUGAGUUGAGUCCGAGUUCACUUAUGGGCGAGUUACAUGGUAGCUUGGCUACAUAAGUUUCGCAGGCUAUUGAGUUUGUCUAGCUGCGGGUAUGGCUCUUAUGUUCAUGAGAUCCGCGUAUUCGAAUUAUAUUUCAAUGUGUUCAACAGGUGAAUCUUACGUGAAUAAAAAGAAGGCCUAAAACGAAGGUGACAUGUUGGUAUGUGUGGUAAAUGAGAAAAUUUGACAGGUAUGUGCUUAAAACCUCGGGUUGAAAACUUGGUAUGAUGAAAACGUAGAAAGAUAUUAAAUGUAAAUGAAACAUGAAUGUCUUGGUGUUGUUUAUGCAAAUGAUGUUUUAUGUGAGAUUGUGUGAUUAUGUUACUUGCUAUUUGCAAGUUAACUUACUAAGCAUUUGUGCUUACUCCCUCCUUUUCUUUCAUUGUAGUUUUGACAAGCCGGCUUGAGAAUCGGGUUAGGUCGAAGACUCGUUCACACUAUCCGAAGGCUUAAAUUGGUAAAAUGGCUUGUGUAUUUUGAAUGUGGCAUGUAUGGCAAAACACUCACUUUGUGUAAUUGAUCUUAUGAUAUGGCUAUGGUUUGGUAAGAAAAGGGUUUGUAAAUGAUUAGCCAUUGGAAUGGCCAAUCUAAGUCAUAUUUGAUGUUAUGUAUGUUUAAAAUGCUAUUUACUCCAUGAAAAUCCUUAGUAAAGUGAAAUUUGCCAUAAAACAGAAUCUGGCAGCAGUAGUGAUGUAAAUUUGAAAAAUCACUAAAAAUAUUAGAAAUGGAAUUAAAUGAUGAAUAAGUUAUGAAAUUGAAGCUUAAUUAGUCUAUUUUCAUAUGCAUUGAACAAAACAGGUAUAUAAAUUAUAUUUUAUGAGAUAUUUGAAUUUUUGUGAAACAGGGCCAGAGUGGUUUCUAGAUCCCCUUUUAUAACUUUAAAAAUUCAUCAUAAAUUGUAAAAAAAUAAUUAGAAGUCAUUAUUUAUAUGAAAACAUUUCUUAUUGAGUCUAGUUUUAAUAGAAACAAACAUCAUAGUCAUUGAAAUUCUGUACAGAGAGAUAUCUAAUUCGUAAUAUACAGAGGGCAGAGCAGUCAAACCCUGAAAUAGGGGAGACUUUAACUAAUAAAAUGUAGUAAUUGUAUUGACCAAAAAUUCUAGAAAAAAAUUAGUAAAUAGAUAUAUGAGUCUAGUUUCAGGAAAAAUUUAUGGAAUUGGAUUUUGAGUUUUGAAACUCGAGAUAUGAAUUUUUAAGCGACUGUGACUCAGAUUGCUAGCUUGACUGGAAAUUUUAAAAAUAAAUUGUUUGAGCUGUUUAAGUAAUGAAUUAAGUCUGUUAACACCUCGUGUUCGACUCCGGAGAUGGUUUCGGGUACGGGGCAUUACAUUUUGUGGUAUCAGAGCAGGUUUAGUCAGUUCUCGGACUAAUGUGUUGUAUGUACGGGUUUUGCUAUACAUGCCAUAUAUAUAUUGUGAUAGUGUGACGACUUCUAACCUUUUAAAUGAUUUUUUUAUAGUAAAUUGAUCCUGAUCCAGUUGCGGCUGAUGAUGUAGAGAGUAAUGCACCAGCUCCGACUGAAGGGGCAGUGCCAAUUGAAAAUCCACCUCCUACUGUUGGUCAAGGAGGAAGAGAAGGGGCUCGGGAAGCCUUUCUCCAGAUGAUGAGUGCCUGGUAUACUGAGUUCGUUCGUACGAACCCGAAUGCACAACCUCCCCCACCUCCCCCGAUUUCUCAACCCGUACCCCCGAUGCCUCAAGGUAUAGAUCUGAUGAAAUUUCACAAAACUCCAGUUGACAGAAUCCGUAAACAAGGGGCCGAAGAAUUCAGGGCAAAUAUUGAUGAUGAUGUCGAGAAAGCAGAGUUUUGGCUUGAGAAUUCUAUUCGAGUAUUUGAUGAAUUGUCUUGUACACCUGAGGAAUCCUUGAAAUGUGCUAUAUCAUUGUUGAGGGAUUCAGCUUAUCAUUGGUGGAAGACAUUGAUUUCAGUAGUAUCGAAAGAGAAAGUAACUUGGGAGUUCUUUCAAGAAGAAUUUCGGAAGAAAUAUAUCAAUGAAAGAUUUAUUGAUCAGAAGCGUAAAGAGUUUCUUGAAUUCAAGUAGGGGAACAUGACAGUUACUAAAUACAAAAGGGAGUUUGUCAGGUUGAGUAAGUAUGCUAGAGAAUAUAUUCCUACAGAAGCUAAAAUGUGCAGACGAUUUGAAGACGGACUCAAUGAAGACAUCAAAGUAUAUGCUGGGAUUCUUGAAUUAAAAGAAAUGGUAGUACUGGUUGAUCGAGCUUACAUGGUUGAAGAACUACUUAAAGAGAAGAAAAAGGUAGAGGCUGAGACUAGAAAUUGGAAGAAAAGACCGACGAGCAGUUCAUUCUCACAGCAAUCUAGAAAAUCUAGAAAUAUGAAUCCUCGUUCACAGGUUUCGGCUGGACAAUCAUAUGAAAAUUCUAAGAAGCAAAAUGUGGGUCCUAAAUCUCAGACUACUUCUGCAGCUAGUGUGGGAAAUACGAGAUUUGUUAAGCCUGAGUGCCAGCAGUGUGGCAGAAAUCAUUUUGGCCUAUGUAAAGCGAAUGAAUGUUUUCGGUGUGGUUCUCCAGAUCAUUUUAUUAGAGACUGCCCAGAGAGAGCUGAGAAAGAAAAAUUUCAGAAUGUAAAAGCUAGUGGUGCAGACUCGAGGGGAAGAUAUUCAAGAAAAGCUGGAAAGGAAGCAAGCAUCAAAAAUGUAGCCAGAGAUUCAGCAGCUAAAUCUGAAGCAAGGGCUCCAACUAGAACUUAUGUUAUAAAGGCACGUGAAGAUGCUUCAUCACCCGAUGUGAUUACUGGCAUAUUUUCUCUUUAUGAUGUUAAUGUUAUUGCUUUGAUUGAUCUCGGUUCUACUCAUUCAUAUGUAUGCAUGAAACUGGUGUCUAGUAUGAAUAUACCUGUUGAGAACACAGAAUUUAUGAUUAGAGUGUCGAAUCCGUUAGGCAAAUGUGUGAUAGUUGAUAAAGUAUGCAAGAAAUGCCCUUUAAUGAUUUAGGGUCAUUACUUUCUGGCCGACUUGAUGUAGUUGCCGUUUGAUGAAUUUAAUGUUAUUUUGGGUAUGGAUUGGUUGACAUUGCAUGAUGCUAUAAUAAAUUGCAAAGAAAAGGUUAUAGAAUUAAAGUGUGAAAGUGGUGAAAUUCUGCGAGUUGAACCAGACAAAUCUGGCAGCAGCAGUGGUGUAAAUUUGAAAAAUCACUAAAAAUAUUAGAAAUGGAAUUAAAUGAUGAGUAAGUUAUGAAAUUGAAGCUUAAUUAGUCUAUUUUCAUAUAGAUUGAACAAAAUAGGUAUAUAAAUUAUAUUUUAUGAGAUAUUUGAAUUUUUGUGAAACAGGGCCAGAGUGAUUUCUAGAUCCCCUGUUAUGACUUUAAAGAUUCAUCAUAAAUUGUAAAAAAAUAAUUAUAAGUCAUGCUUUAUAUGUACAGAUUCCUUAUUGAGUCUAGUUUUAAUAGAAACAAACAUCAUAGCCAUUUAAAUUCUGUACAGAGAGAUAUCUGAUUCGUAAUUUACAGAGGUCAGAGCAGUCAAACCCUGAAAUAGGGGAGACUUUAACUAAUAAACUGUACUAAUUGGCUUGACCAAAAAUUCUAGAAAAAAAUUAGUAAAUAUAUAUAUGAGUCUAGUUUCAGAGAAAAUUUACGGAAUUGGAUUUCGAGUUUCAGAACUCUUGAUAUGAAUUUUUAAGCGACUGUGACGCAGAUUGCUAGCUUGACUGGAAAUUUUAAAAAUAAAUUGUUUAAGCUGUUUAAGUAAUGAAUUAAGUUUGUUAACACCUCGUGUUCGACUCCGGCGAUGGUCUCAGGUACGGGGCGUUAUAGGAGUGAUCCAAGGAAGUCCGAUUAUUCUUUGUAGGUGGUUUAUUAUUUUUAGUUUUUUGAGGAGACAUGCAAUGUGGUUGACAUAUUAUAGUUAUGUUGAUUUCUAGACAGUUGACUCAGAUUCUAAGAAUAUCAUGUUAUUACUAUUGCUUAGGAUUGUAGACAUUAAAGUUGGCAUGAUGAUAUUUUUUUGGACUCCUUUUUGGUAUUUUGUACUGUUGAUUAAGCUGUAUGAACGAUUAUUUAACUUAGUAUUUGAUGCAUGAUGUUUAGGAACUAUUUGAGAUGAAUUAAUUGCUUAUCUGUACAGUAUCUUUAGCGCCAGUAGUAGAGGUAUUGAUAUUGGGCUUUGAAAAUGAUACCUAUGUGAAUUAAAACGUACAUGAAACAAAAUAGAGAUUUGGUAUCGAUACAUUUUCUCGAGUAUCGAUACUUGAGGAAGAAAUAUAUGUACUUUGUUUUGUGGAACUGAUAUUUUUCGAUAGUUGGGUUUUUAUUCAAGAAACAGUAUGCUCUUUUGGUAUCGUUUUUCCAAGUUAGCCCUUAUGCAUGUUUCUAACUGUAUGUAAGACUAAUUAACGAAUGGUUUGCAUGUAGAAAUGUUAAUUAACUAUUUGGACGACUUAAAACUUAUUCGAUUUAAAUUCAAUUUAAGUAAAAAAGAUCUGUGUCCUUGAAUCUAGUCCUAUCUUAUAUACAUGAGACAAGACGGUGGUGUGGCAUCCCGUAUUUGGGCUUGACGACCAAGCUGGGUAUAGUGUGUUACAGCGGUCACACGACGGGUUCGUCAUCGGCUCUGACUAAAAAAGCAUCACUACCUAAUGUCUACACAAUAUCUUGAUCAGUUGACUCCACUUAUUCCUGUUCAUUUCACUAAACUUAUGUUUUUUUCACAAACAACUUACUACGUAGCAAUGCACAUCCCUAGUUCUUCUGUUCCUGCGGGUACAUAUUUCGAGGCACCAACGCCCUCUGCAUUCUACACCCUAUGCCAACUUUAAUCAUGUCACAUAUACUGAGCUAGAUGCCACUGCAUGUACCUUCAACGAUGACAACACAGAUGUCGUCACUGAUCCAACAGUCGAUGCCAGUUUCGAUGCUCGGGUCAAUGCCGGUAUAUACGAGUUUUACGAAACCAUACACUUACAUACCAAUAGUGUCUCAGACACCUAGAGCAUUAUUGUUUUAUUGAGGUCAGUCAUCAGCGCAACCAUUUUCUGCUGAAGUGGAGGAUACAUGACGGGAGACUAGGACAGCACUGCUGUAACAGCCCAUUUUUAGUCAAAUCGAAAUAGUGAUUUUGGGACCACAAAUCCAAAGUCAAAAUAAUUAUUUUAUUAUUAUUUUAAUGUCUACAGCAUGAUAGUAUAGUUGUGUGAAAUUUACGUUAAGAAAUUUUAUCGUUUGAAUGCUUAAUUUGAUAAAAAGGACUAAACCGCGUAAAGUGUAAAAAUUGUGUUAUAUUAGCUAAAGGUGUCUAAUAGCUGUGGAGUAUUAAAGUGAAGGUCCUUAUGUGGUAAAUAACCCAAUAUUAUGAUAAUGGAUGAUAGUGGCUUUGUAAUUUUGAAAUUCGUGAUAUUUUUAAAGGUUAUAUUGGUAAUUAAGUAAUUAAGGUUGAUAAUAAAUAAAACAAAUUGAGUGUCAUCUUCCAUUAUCAUUUUAACGACCAAAAUUUAGAAUGAAUGGCAACCAUGGGAGCUUAAAGUUUCAGCAACCCAAAUUCCUUUGAUUAGGUAUGCAUUUUUAAUCCGUUUUUGAUGAUUUCUAUGUUUUUGAGGUCGUUGCAGCUUAGUCUAGCUAGCCCAAUGACUAAUUUGCAAAAUUUUUAAAGGUUUAGGGUUUUUUUGUUGAUGAAUGUUGAUGUGUUUUCAUGUUUAAUGGUAGAAAAUGAAUGCUUGUUGUUAGAUAAACAACAUUUGUUAAGUGAUUUUUAAUAAAGUGUUCAAAUAGGGAUUAAUUUGUGAAAUGUUGAAAUUUGGUGGUUAAAUUGUGAAAUAAAUUAAAAAUAUGGACUUUUAGGGACCUAAUUGAAAUUUGGCUAGUAUGAGUUUUGGUUGAAUUGCAUGAAUUUGUAAUUUUAUGAAAUAAAGACUAAAUUGCAAAAAAUGUGAAAUGUUAGGGGCAAAAAUGUAAAAAUGCCUUAAUGUGUGUCUUUGGAUUAAAUUGAAUAGAGAGGUAAUUAAAUAAGUUAAAUUUGAUAUUAUAUAGAUCAAGAAAAGCAAAAUACGGACUUAGAUCGGGGAAAGAAUAGGGUUUUGGAUUAAUCGACUCGCUUUGUCGUAUUUAUAUCGAGGUAAGUUCGUAUGUGUUAAACAUUAUUAUACUUGUAUUUUAAUGCUUUGAUAUUACAUAAACUGUGAAUACAACACUGCGGACAUGUUCAACGAUGAUUCAACGAGUGAGAAAAUCCCGGUUGAAUGUUAGGGAUAGAUUAGGAUAUGAAUGACAUGUAAUUAGAGGUUAUUAUUAUUUAGGGUGCUGAUCUGUACGUUCUACCGGUGGUUGAGUUAUCUGGCAUGUGUUGCAGAUACUUGUCAGCUUGUGUGAGCAGCACUAUGUAGUUACAUCAUGACCGUCAGCUUGUGUGAGCGAACCUAUUGAUAGCUCGAGAGUGAGCAUUAUUGAGAUAUGAUAUUGAGAUAGCUUCAGGUAUGUAUUGGCACUUCGAUGCAAGACGUAUUGAGAUAACUUCGACUAUAUAUAUAUUGGCACUUAAGGUGCAAGAUUCCCGAGUAUCCUGUAUUAUUCCAAAUGAUUCAACGGGUAUAUCGAAGAUAUGAAAUGGUGAGAAUAGAUACGUAUCAAUACAUGUAUGUAUGGAAGCUGAAUUUGUAUCGAUUAUAUGAAAGAAUUGAGUUCAUGGUUAAGUAGAUGAUGGAAUAUAUGUUAACAUUGUGGUUAAAUAUCUUGUAGUAUGUUAUAUGUAUAUUUCGAAUGGUAAAUAAAUGGUGAGUUUUGCUUAUUAUUUUCAUACGAGCUUACCAAGCUUUAUAGCUUACUUUGUUUAUUUUUCCAUGUUUCAUAGUGAAUUCAAAGCUAGCUCAGAUUUGGGGAGCGUCGGAGACUUCAUCACACUAUCCUACUAUCAUUUUGGUACUUUUGAACUUAAGUAUUUUGAUUAUAUGGCAUGUAUAGGAACUUUGGUCAUUUUAGGUUAUGGUUUGAUAAUGAAUUUAUCCAAUUGUAAUGGCUUGUAAAUGUUAAUGGUUUGGUUUUCUAUAUAGCCAUGAGAGUUGGCUUAAUUUGGUUAAUUUAGUUGUGCAUUUUAUGUGUACAUGACUUUGGUUAUGUGUUAAAUGAUGGAUAUGUGAUGCUUGUUGAUUAUAGGUGAUUUAGAUGUCAAAUGGUUGAUGAAUUAAGAAUUAGUAUGCUUGUGAACUUAGGUAAAAUAAUACAUGUUUAGAAAAUGACUAUGUUGAUGAUUUGAGAAAGUGAAAUUGAUAUAAAAUUGGAUGGUGUGUUGUGAGGUUGUAUACCUUGUGUUGUUGGUAUCAAAAUGGUAUAAUUUAUGCUUGGAUGAGUUAAAUGAAUUCCUAUAUAUGCUAUGUUUUGGUGCCAAAUGGGUUGGUGUAGGUACAUGCAAUUUGGGUGGCAAAAUGGCUUGGUAAAUAGCCUAUCUUUGUCCACACAGGCAGAGACACGGAUGUGUGUCUCAGCCGUGUGUGACACACAGUUAUGUUACACAGCCAUGUGUCCCCUGGUGUUGAAUGUGAAAUCAACUCAGUAUGCUCACACAGCCCAACACACAAGCAUGUGUCAUGGCCGUGUGGCAUAAGUCAGUAUACCCUACAAGUUUGGCAUGGCCUAGCACACGGCUUGGCGCACGGGCGUGUGUGGCCAUUUCUAGGGCACACGGGCUAGUCGCACGAGCGUGUGUGUUGGCCGUGUGACCCAAGUCAGAGAGUUACACGGGGUCAGACACGGGCUGGGACACGGCCAUGUGAUCGUAUUUUGAAUGCCCACACAGCCUAUGACACGUGCGUGUCUUUGGCCGUGUGAGAGACACUGGGCCACACGGGCGUGUGUCCCCUGCAUUUUGGAAAAUUUUCCAAGUGUUUCAAAAAUUUCUUGAGCAAUCGGUUUAGUCUCAAACUACUUCUAAAGUAUGUUUAGGUCUCGUAGGCUCGUAUUAAGGACAAUGUAAUUGAGUUUGAUUGAUGAUUGCAUGAAAUUUAAAAAUGUAUGUGAUACAAAUGUUUAAUUGUUUUAUAAGUCUGGUAAUGCUCUAUAACUCUAUUCCGAUGUUGAAUAUGGGUGAGAGGUGUUAUAUUUAUUGGUAUUAGAGCUACGGUUUAGUCUAUUCUCGGACUAACAUAGCAUAUGUGAGAGUCUAGCUAUACAUGCCAAUAUCUCUUGAAAAUUUAAAUCAUGUUUUCAUAUAGUAAAUGGAUCCCAUUCGAGUUGUAGCUGAUGAUGUCGAAAGUAAUGCGCCUGCCUCCGUUAACGGAGUAGCGAAAUCAAAUUCGAGACCUAUAUCAGGUAGCCAGGGAGGAGAGGCUAAAAAAGCCUUCUUCUAGAUGAUGAAUGAGUGGUUUACGGAGUUUGUUCGAACUAAUUCAGUUGCUCAACAACCUCUACCCCCACCUAAUCCCUAACCGGUUCUCGUAGCUCCUCAAGGUGUGGAACUUCUAUGACUGAAUAAGUCACCAAUUGAUAAGAUUCGAAAAUACGAAGCUGAAGAGUUUAGAGCUAAUGUUGACGAUGAUCCCAAGAGAGUUGAGCUUUGGCUUGAAUACACUAUUAGAGUAUUUGAUGAACUUUCUUACACACCGGUAAUCAGAGUAUUUGAUAAACUUUCUUGCACACCGGUAGAGUGUUUAAAAUGUGCCAUUUCACUCUAAGGGACAUUGCAUAUCAAUGGUGGAGUACUUUGGUGUCUUUGGUACCGAGAGAAAGAGUUACUUGGGAAUUCUUUCAAGUUGAAUUCAGGAAUAAAUAUAUCAGCCAACGAUUUAUUGAUAAAAAAUGCAAAGAGUUUUUGGAGCUGAAACAGCAUAUGUCUGUGACUGAAUUUGAGCGAGAGUUUGUAAGGCUUAGUAAAUAUGCUCGGGAGUGUGUUUCAAUUGAGGCCAUUAUGUGUAAAAGGUUUGAAGAUGAAUUGAACGAAGACUUCAGGUUGUUGGUCGAGAUUCUAGAAUUGAAAGAAUUUGUUGUUUUAGUUGGCCGAGCUUGCAAAGCCGAAGAAUUGGGCAAAGAAAAGAUAAAAGCUGAUUGCGAGGCUAGAGUUUCAAGAAAAAGAUCGAUGAAUAUACCAUAUAAAUCCUCGUCAAAGAAAUUACGGGAUUCGUAUACUCGUUCAAAUGCUUCAAUCGAGUAUCCAAAUAGAGAUUAUGAAAAGCAAUACUCAAGUCCUAAAACACAAGCUACAUCAGUAACGAGUGUUGGUAGCGUGAGAAACAAUAAGCCUGAGUGUCAACAGUAUGGUAAACGACAUUUAGGAGAUUGUUGGAUGAGUAAUAAUAAUAAAGCUUGUUCCAGAUGUGGUUUGCAAGAACACUUUAUUCGUGAUUGUCCUCAAUUAUCUGGGAAUGGUAAUCUUCAGGCUUUAAGGCCAAGUAAUAUAGUUGCCAGGAGUGACCACCUCGAAGUGCUGGAAAUGUGACUAGUAGUAGAGGAACGACUAAAGACUCCGCUAUGAGAUCCGAGGCCAAAGCACCUGCUAAAGCUUACGCUAUUCGUGCUCACAAAGAUGCAUCAUCACCAGAUGUUAUCACCGGUACAUUUUAUCUUUAUGACACUAGUGUAAUUGCUUUGAUUGAUCCUAGGUCGAAUCAUUCAUAUAUUUGUAUGAAUUUGGUGUCUAGUAAGAAUUUUCCUAUUAAGUUUACUGAGUUUGUGGUUAAAGUGUCGAACCCCUUAGGAAAAUAUGUUUUCGUUGAUAAAGUUUACAAGGGAUGUCCUUUGAUGAUCCAAGGUUACUAUUUUCCGGCUGAUUUGAUGUUUUUGUCAUUUGAUGAAUUCGAUGUGAUACUGGGUACGGACUGGUUAGUUCUGCAUGACGUUGUUGUGAAUUGUAGACGAAAGGUUAUUGAAUUGAAAUGUUAGAAUAAUGAAAUCCUUCGGAUUGAAUCUAAUGAAUCGAGUGGAUUACCUAUUGUGAUAUCAUUGAUGUCAGCUCAGAGAUGUGUGAGAAAAGGUUGCGAAGCUUUUCUUACUUAUGUUUUGGAUACAAAAAUUUCUGAAUCAAAAAUUGAAUCUAUGCCAGUAGUCUGUGAGUAUCCGGAUGUGUUUCCAGAAGAGUUACCAGGGUUGUCACUAAUUAAAGAGGUUGAGUUUGCUAUAGAAUUGGUGCCGAGAACAUCACCGAUAUCUAUAGCUCCGUACAGAAUGGCUUCAAAAAAAUUGAAAGAAUUGAAAGCUCAGUUGCAAGAGUUAACAGAUAGAGGUUUUGCAUGACCUAGUUUUUCACCCUAGGGUGCCCCAGUGUUAUUCGUAAAGAAGAAAGAUGGAUCAAUGAGACUUUGUAUUGAUUAUCGUCAGCUCAAAAAGGUUACAAUAAAGAACAAGUAUCCUUUGUUGAGAAUCGAUGAUUUGUUUGAUCAGUUGAAAGGAGCAACAAUGUUUUCAAAAAUUGAUUUGAGAUCUAGUUACUAUCAGUUGCAAGUUAAGGAUUCAGAUGUGCCAAAAACUGCAUUCAGAACAAAGUACGGGCAUUAUGAUUUUCUUGUUAUGCCUUUCGGAUUAACUAAUGCUCCUGCAGUUUUUAUGGAUUUGAUUAAUCGAAUUUUUAGACUGUAUUUAGACAAAUUUGUGGUUGUAUUCAUUGACGAUAUUCUGAUCUAUUCCUAACAUGAGUCUGAGCAUGCUGAACAUUUGAGAAUUGUGCUACAAACCUUAAAAGAUAAGAAACUAUUCGCUAAAUUCAGUAAAUGUGAGUUUUGGCUCCGAGAAGUCAGAUUUUUGGGACAUAUUGUUUCAGCUAAAGGCAUACGAGUUGAUCCAAGCAAGAUUUCUGCAAUUGUUGAUUGGAAACCAUUGAGAAAUGUAUCUGAAGUUAGAAGCUUUAUGGGGUUAGCUGGCUAUUAUCAACAUUUUGUAAACAAAAUUUCAAUGAUUGCUAUACUGAUGACCAAGUUACUACAGAAAGAUGUGGAGUUCGAGUGGUCCAAAAAAUGUCAGUAGAGUUUUAAAUAGUUGAAAGCAUUGUUAACUGAGGCACCAGUUUUGGUUCAACCUGAGUCGAGUAAAAAGUUUGUGAUUUUUAGCGAAGUGUCAUUGAACGGUUUGGGUUGUGUUUUGAUGCAAGAGGAAAAAGUGAUAGUUUAUGCCUCGAGACAGUUGAAACCACAUGAAAAGAAUUAUCCGCUGUACGAUUUAGAGUUAUCCGCUAUUGUUUUCGCAUUGAAAACUUGGUUACAUCAUUUGUACGGUGAAAAGUGUCAUAUCUUUACCGAUCAUAAGACCUUGAAAUAUAUAAUGACUCAAAAAGAUCUGAAUUUGCGACGACGAAGAUGGCUUGAGUUGCUAAAAGACUAUGAGUUGGUGAUUGAUUAUCAUCCGGGGAAAGCGAAUGUAAUCACGGAUGCUCUGAGUAGAAAAUCAUUAUUUUAUUUGCGGGCAAUGAAUACUUAGCUAACCUUAUCUGAUGCUGGUUUGAUUCUAGUAAAGUUGAAAGAUAAACAGGUAUUUCUUCAGCAAAUUUGUGAAGCUCAGAAGUACGACAACGAGUUGCAAGCUAAAAGAGUGCAAUGUGAGUCGACUAGUGAUUCAGACUAUCAGAUCAGAUCCGAUGAUUGUUUAAUGUUCUGAGAUAGAAUAUGUGUACCAAAGAAUCCUAAGCUUAUUCAAAAAAUUCUAAACAAAGCACACAGUAGUUGUUUAUCUGUACAUUCGGGGAGUACAAAACUGUAUAAUGAUUUGAAACAAUUGUAUUGGUGGUCAGGCAUGAAACAAGAAAUUUCAGAGUUUGUAUCAAGAUGUUUGGUUUGUCAACAAGUUAAAGCUAAACAUCAAGUACCUUCAGGAUUACUACAGCCUAUGAUGAUACCAGAGUGGAAAUGGGAUAGAGUUACGAUGGAUUUUGUAUCGGGAUUGCCUUUGUCUCCAAAAAAAAAAGAUGUUAUUUGGGUUGUCGUUCAUCAAUUGAUGAAAUAAGCACAUUUCAUUCCAGGACGUACAGAUUAUUCGCUUGAUAAAUGUUUGAAUUGUACAUAUCUGAGAUCGUUAGAUCGCAUGGGGCACCAGUUUCGAUUAUUUCGGAUAGAGAUCCGAUGUUCACGUCGCGAUUUUUAAAGAAAUUACAAGAAGCUCUGGGUACAAGGUUGAAUUUUAAUACCGUGUUUCAUCUGUAAACCGACGGUCAAUCUGAGAGAGUAAUUCAGAUUCUCGAAGAUGUGCUUCGUCUAAUUCAGAUUCUCGAAGAUGUGCUUCGUUUUUGUGUUUUAGAAUUUUAAGGUAACUGGGAGAAAUAUUUACCAUUGGUUGAAUUCACAUAUAACAACAGUUUUCAAUCGAGCAUAAAAAUGGCACCGUACAAAGCAUUAUAUGGUUGCAAAUGUCGAACUCCACUGUACUAGACCGAGCUUAGUGAGAAAAAGAUUCACAGGGUUGAUUUGAUUAGAGACAUAGAAGAUAAAGUAAAAGUAAUUCACGAUAGUUUGAAAGCAACUUCAGAUCGACAGAAAUCAUAUGCGGAUUUAAAAUGAAAAGACAUUGAAUUUCAGAUUGGUGACAGAGUAUUUCUAAAAGUAUCUUUGUGGAAAAAAAUCCUUCGUUUUGGUCGUAAAGGCAAAUUGAGUCUACGAUUUAUCGGGCUGUAUGAGAUCAUCAAAAGAAUAGGACCAGUGGCAUAUCAACUAGCAUUAUCAUCAGAAUUAGAAAAGACUCACAACGUGUUUCAUGUAUCGAUGUUGCGACGAUAUUGAUCUGAUCCAUCACAUGUAAUUUCCCCGUUCGAGAUUGAAAUUCAGCCUGAUAUGUCGUAUAACGAAUAACUUAUCAGAAUUUUAGCUCAAGAGGUUAAAGAAUUGAGAAAUAAAUGCAUAGCUUUAGUGAAAUAUUUGUGGCAAUGACACGAUGUCGAAGAGGCUACAUGGGAGCCUGAGAAAACUAUGAGAAAAAAAUACCCUAACCUCUUUUCUGGUAAGAUUUUCAGGGAUGAAAAUUCUUAAGGGGGAGAGUUAUAACAACUCGUUUUUAGUCAAAUCGAAACAGUGGUUUUGGGACCAUAAAUUCGAAGUCAAAAUAAUUAUUUUAUUAUUGUUUUAAUAUCUAUAGCAUGAUAGUAUAGUUGUGUGAAAUUUUUGUUAAGAAAUUUUAUCGUUUGAAUGCUUAAUUUGGUAAAAAGGAAAAAAUCGCGUAAAGUGUAAAACUUGUGUUCUAUUAGCUAAAGUGUCUAAUAGCUGUGGAGUAUUAAAGUGAAGGUCCUUAUGUGGUAAAUAACCCAAUAUUAUGAUAAUAGAUGAUAGUGGCUUUGUAAUUUUGAAAUUUGUGAUGUUUUUAAAGGUUAUAUUGGUAAUUAAGGUUAAUAAUAAAUAAAACAAAUUAAGUAUCAUCUUCCAUUAUCAUUUUAACAAUCAAAAUUUAGAAAGAAUGGCAGCCAUGGGAGCCUAAAGUUUCGGCAACCCUAAUUCCUUUGAUUAGGUAUACAUUUUUAAUCCAUUUUUGAUGAUUUCUAUGUUUUUGAUAUCGUUGCAGCUUAGUCUAGCUAGCCCAAUGACUAAUUUGCAAAAUUUUUAAAGGUUUAGUGUUUUUCCAUUGAUGAAUGCUGGUGUGUUUUGAUGUUUAAUGGUAGAAAAUGCAUGAUUGUUGUUAUAUAAACAACAUUUGUUAAGUGAUUUUUAGUAAAGUGUUCAAAUAGGGAUUAAUUUGUGAAAUGUUGAAAUUUAGUGCUUAAACUGUGAAUAAUUGAAAAAUAUGGACUAUUAGGGACCUAAUUGAAAUUCGGCUAGCAUGGGUUUUGGUUGAAUUGCAUGAAUUUGUAAUUUUAUGAAAUAAGGACUAAACUGCAAAAAAUGUGAAAUGUUUUGUGCAAGAUUGUAAAAAUGCCUUAAUGUGUGUCUUUGGAUUAAAUUGAAUUGAGAGGUAAUUAAAUAAGCUAAAUUUGAUAUUAUAUAGAUCAAGAAAAGCAAAAUACGAACUUAGAUCAGGGAAAGAACAAGGUUUUAGAUUAAUUGACUCGUUUUGCUAUUUUUAUAUCCGAGGUAAGUACAUAUGUGUUAAACAUUAUUAUACUUGUGUUUUAAUGCUUUGAUAUCACAUAAAUUGUGAAUACGACACUGCAGACAUGUUCAACAAUGAUUCGACGAGUGAAAAAUCCCGGUUGAACCUUAGGAAUAGAUUAGGAUACAAAUGACAUGUCAUUAGGGGUUAUUAUUGUUUUGGGUGCUGGUCCGUAUGUUCUACCGGUGGCUGAGUUAUCCGGCAUGUGUUGCGGAUACUCGUUAGCUUGUGUAAGUAGCACUGUGUAAUUACGCCAUGACCGUCAUCAGCUUGUGUGAGUAGACCCGUUGACAGCUCGAGAGUGAGCAUUAUUGAGAUAUGAUAUUGAGAUAGCUUCAGCUAUGUAUUGGCACUUCGGUGCAAGACUUAUUGAGAUAGCUUCGGCUAUAUAUAUAUUGGCACUUAGGGUGCAAGAUUCUCGAGUAUCCCGUAUUAUUCCAAAUGGUUCAAUGGGUAUAUCGAAGAUAUGAAAUGGUAAGAAUAGAUACGUAUUAAUACAAGUAUGUACGGAAACUAAAUUUGUAUAAAAUAUAUGAAAGAAUUGAGUUCAUGGUUAAAUAGAUGAUGGAAUAUGUGUUAACAUUGUGGUUAAAUACCUUAUAGUAUGUUAUAUGCAUAUUUUGAAUGGUAAAUAAAUUGUGAGUUUUGCUUAUUAUUUUCAUAUGAGUUUACUAAGCUUUAUAGCUUAUUUUGUUUAUUUUUUCGUAUUUCAUAGUGAAUUCAAAGCUAGCUCAGAUUUGGGGACCGUCAGAGACUUCAUCACACUAUCCUACUAUCACUUUGGUACUUUUGAACUUAAGUAUUUAAAGUAUAUGGCAUGUAUAGGAACUUUGCUCAUUUUGGGUUAUGGUUUGAUAAUAAAUUUAGCCAAUUGUAAUGGCUUGUAAACGUUAAUAGUUUGGUUUUGUAUAUAGCCAUGAGAGUUGGCUUAAUUUGGUUGAUUUAGUUGUGCAUUCAUAUGUGUAUAUGUCUUUGGUUAUGUGUUAAAUGAUGGAUAUGUGAUGCUUGUUGAUUAUAGCUGUAACACCCUUAACCUGUAUCCGUCACCGGAAUAGGGUUACGAGGUAUUACCUAUUAAAUCACAACAUACAACACACAUUUCUCAUCCAAGAAUCCAUUAAUACAUAAACAUCAAUCCAACAUAGUUACAUUGUCCCUUAUAAGGCUCUACGAGACCUUAAAACAUGUCUGGAAGAGGUUCGGGACUAAAUCAAUAACAUUUGAAAAUUUUGGGAAACUUAUAAAAUUUUCAUGCAUACAAGGAUCACACGCCCGUGUGAACAGGCCGUGUGCCUCAUACUGUCACCCGACACGCCCGUGUCACAAGCCAUGUGGAAACAGGGCAUACAUACUGACUUGCAUCACACGGCCGGAAACACACCUGUGUGCCUUGGCCGUGUAAAAUCUAAAGGGUACACUGACUUGGGUCACAUUGCCGGUCACACGCCCAUGUGCUAGCCCGUGUGUCACACACGGCCAGUAGACACGCCCGUGUGUCUAAGCCGUGUAACUCACUGACUUGUUUAAUUAAGUUAUAGCAGACACAUAGUCGAGUCACACGCCCGUGUGCUCAACCGUGUGGGGGCGCAAAUAGGCUUGGUUUAAGCCACAUUUCUCACCCUCCUCAAGCAAGCCAAAACCAUAACAUUUCAUACCAUUUCAACACAUUUAUAGGCAAGCAAAACAUGCUAUUUCAUAUACAAAUCAUGCCAUUUAAAAUCCAUCUAUUUCACUACUCAAAUCAUAAUCCAAAACAAGCUAAAACAAUAUGCCAUUACCAACAAUUUCACCUAUCUUCUAUAUGCAUUUUUCUCAUCAUUUAUCAUCUAUUUUAAACUUAAAAUCAUACCAAUUAAUCAUCACAACAUCCAUGACAAACAUGCCAAAACACAAGGCCAUUUAUAUACAUCAUAUUUCACUUACCAAACUCAUAAAAUAAGCCAACCCAAAUAGCCAAAAACACACCAACAUUUACAUCACUUAUGAGCCAAAUCUCAUGGCUAAUAUCAUAUCUCAAAACACAUCAUCAUAUCACUAGCCUAAACAUGCCAUAUACCAUAUUUACAUAGCAACAAAAGUACCAACAAGUUGAUCGAUAGUGUGAUGGUGUUCCUAAUGAUCCCCGAGUCGGAGCUAGCUUUGAUUAUCUAAAAAGAAUAGGGAAAGAACACACAAAGUAAGCUUUAAAAGCUUAGUAAACCAUAUACAAAUAAAAUUACCACAUGAAUCGACAUCAUUUUCAUCAAUAAGCAAACUAUGAGUAAGCACAUAUAAGCUCACAAACCUUUCCCAAUGUAUACAUAUUCAAUAUCAUGAAUGAAUUCAUCAAAUACUUCUCUUUUCAAUACUUGUAUAAAUCUCGUACGUACCUGAGUCACUUAACUCAUUCACACAUUCUUUCUUGACUUGACUUUGCCAUUUGAACCUGUUGGAAUUGUUAAGGAUACUCGGAAAUCACAUAUAGCUCUUAAAAUGCCAUAUCUUAGAUAUGGUCUUACAUGUUAUCACAUAUCGAUGCCGAUAGCCUAGCUAUGGUCUUACACAAAAUCAAAUAACGAUGCCAAUGUUCCAGACAUGGUUUUACACAUAGUCACAUAAUGAUGCCAAUGUCCCAGACAUGGUCUUACACAUAUAGACGGGACUUUUGGAUAUUGUAACCCUGUCAAUUCUUGCUUGUAUUUGAUCAUUCAACAUUCAUAGUAGUUCAAUGACAAUUAAACAUAUAUAAUUCAAUUUAAAGAUAUUUAUUUGCAUAUGAACUUACCUUAUAUUCGGGAUAAACGGACUGGAUCGACUAUUCGAUCACCUUUGAUUUUCCUUGAUCUAAAUCCGAUUUCUUUCAUUCUUGAUCAAUUGAUCCCUCAAAGUGCCAAAACCUAAUGGCUUCAAUGGCUUCUUCAAUUUGUAAUUUCGGUGGUGGAAGAUGAUUAUGAAACAUAUUUUCUUUUGUUUUUAAUUAAUAUUAACUUAAUAGCCUAAUUACCAUUUUAACCUUUAUAAUAAACAUAUAAAAUCACUUAAUAUAAGGUCAUCUAUGUUAAAUUCCAUUAUCAAUGGUUUAAUAAUAUCAUAAGGACCUUUCAUUUAAUAAACCAUAACAAUUAAGCACUUUAAACAAUAGAAUGUAACUUUUGCAUUUUAUGCGAUUUAGUCCUUUUAUCAAAUUAGACAUCCAAUCGAUAAAAUUAAAUCACGAAACUUUCAUACAUACAUGCUAUAAUACUAUAAGCACAUAAAAUAAUAUUAAAAUAAUUUUUUGACAUCGAAUUUAUGAUUCUGAAACCACUGUUCCGAUUUAGCUAAAACCGGGUUGUUACAAUAGGUGAUGUGGAUAUCAAAUGGUUGAUGAAUUGAGAAUUAGUAUGCUUGUGAACUUAGGUAAAAUAAUGCAUGUUUUGAAAAUGACUAUGUUGAUGAUUUGAGAAAGUGAAAUUGGUAUAAAAUUGGAUGGUGUGUUGUGAGAUUGUAUGCAUUGUGUUGUUGGUAUUGAAAUGGUAUAAUUUAUGCUUGGAUGAGUUAGAUGAAUGCCUAUAUAUGUUGUGUUUUGGUGCCAAAUGGGUUGGUGUAGGUACAUGCAAUUUGGGUGGCAAAAUGGCUUGGUAAAUAGCCUAUUUUUGUCCACACGGGCAGAGACACGGGCGUGUGUCUCAGCCGUGCGUGACACACGGUUAUGUUACACGGUCGUAUGUGCCCUGAUGUUAAAUUUGAAAUCAAGUCAGUAUGCUUCACAUGACCCCGUACACGGGUGGGUGUGUUAUGGCCAUGUGGCAUAAGUCAGUAUACCCUACAGGUUUGGCACGGCCUAGCACAUGGCCUGACACACGGGCGUGUGUGGCCAUUUCUAGGGCACACGGGCUAGUCACACGGGCAUGUGUGUUGGCCAUGUGACCCAAGUCAGAGAGUUACACGGGGUCGGGCACGGGCUGGGACAUAGCCAUGUGUUCACAUUUUAAAUGUCCACAAGGCCUAUGACAUGGGUGUGUCUUUUGCCGUGUGAGACACACGGCCGGGCCACACGGCGUGUGUCCCCUGUAUUUUGAAAAAUUUUCUAAGUGUUUCAAAAAUUUCUUGAGUUAUCGAUUUAGUUCUGAACCACUUUUAAAGCAUGUUUAGGGUCUCGUAGGCUUGUAUUAAGGACAACGUGAUUGAGUUUGAAUGAUGAUUGCAUGAAAUUUAAAAAUGUAUGUGAUACGGAUGUUUAAUUUUUUAUAAGUCCGAUAAUGCUCCGUAACCCUUUUCCAGCGUUGAAUACGGGUGAGGGGUGUUACAACUACACUCGAGCACGAAUGAAGGCGAUGGAGACCAAGGUGAAGACGAAGAAAAUGAUGAAGGCGAAUAUGAACAUGAACAUGAAGAUGAUGGCGACGAGGGUGGGGGUAAAGACAAACAUAAUGAGGACAAUGGUAACGAAUCAGUUUAUGAGCCCUUAGUAAUAGUUGUACGCAGAAAUCCUCCUCACGAUAGUCACCCACUGUCGUGCGGCACACAUUCUCCCUGAUGAUGCGGAUGAUGUAUUUUUUAACUUAUCUAUAACGAUGUAAAUAUAGAUGACAUCAAUAAAGAAACCAUAAAUUUUCAUUGUAACUCAUAUCUUCCUCUUUGUUACUUUCUAAUGUAAGUUAAUAAGAAACCACAAAUUUUUAUUGCAACUCAUUUUUUAUUCAACUUGGGUCCCGUUCGAUAUAUUGUUAGUUCAAAUAAUCAUAUCUAUGUCUCUAUUUCUAAGAGUCAAUCUAGCUUUGAUAGUCAAGAUAAGUUAUCUCUCCGAUUGGACUGAUAGACAAGAUAAUAGUCCUAGUAUGAAUUAUUUGAUCAAUUUGAUUCUAUGAACUACAAAUAAUUUAGAUUAACUACUAGUAUAAAUUGUCUCCUCAUUUUAUAAUCUGAUCAUAUAAUGUAACGUAUUAUUAAUUAAACCUUGAAUAAUUAGUGAGUCAAUAUUCAUUUAUUCAUUUAGUUUUCACAUUUGAAAACACUCAUAUAAAGUAUAUUAAGUGAACACAUUGUAAUUUUAUUUAUUAAAUCAAUUAAAAAAUUAAAAACUAUGAUGAAAUCAUUCAACUUAGAGCACAAAUUCUAACCUAACAAGCUUUAAAAAAAUGUAGUUGAACACCGAUAAAAUUAUGCAAUUACUAAAGCCCAAUUUGACAAAUGAUGCUUUUCUAGUUUUCAUCCAAAUUAUGAAACAAUUAAAAUACUUGAAAAGUAAAGAAACUUUGAAAAAGCCUCCAUUUUUUUUAAUCAAUAACGAUAAUUUUACUAAAACCAAUACAAAUAUCACACCUUUCUUUUGGAAGAAAUUCCGGUUAUUAUUGGGACUGGGUGUUAACCCAUUUGUCGAGUUGACUAGUGGAGAAACGUGUGAAGGCAAUUCAUUGUUUGGACUUUAGAGUAAAGGAAUUGGAUUGAUGGUUUUAUUAUUAAAAAUAUAUAAAAGUAAUUUGAUUCAGUUUAAUUAUUGAGAUCAAUUGCUUUGUAUUGAUUUUUAAGUCAAUUGCUCUGAUGUUCUAUCUAGAUUAAUAUUUCUAUCAGUUUUUAAUUUAAUUAAUUUAAUCCAAUUCAAACAACCAUAGUUAGAAUUUGAUUGAAUAAAAAAAUUUAAUUGAAAACUAAAAAUGGAGAGGUUUAAUUACAUUUCCAUCCCUUUACUUUUAGAAAUUUAUAAAAUUUUUAGAAUUUAUUAAAAAUUUAUUAUAUUUUUAAAUUUUCAAAUAUUUUUUUAAUACUUGUUGACAUGACAUACAAAGACGGAAUAUAAAAAGAGUCAAAGGGGCUUGAUCCUCUCAAAAAUUUGAAAAAUGAUUAAUAAACCCUUCAAAAUUAUUCAUAAUUUACUUAGGCCCCCAAAUUUGUUGAAAAAUUUAAUUAAGCUCUUUAAAAGUUUUGAAAAUUUUAAUUAAACCCUUUUAAAAAAAUUAAUUACUCAUUAAUUUUCUAAAAAAAAUUAAAGCCUUAUUUUUUUUUUGAAAAAUCUCAUUAAACAUCAAAAAUUUUGAAAAUUUUAAUUUGAUCUCUCUAAAACUUAAUGCCACAUUCGGCCACCGAUGGCUUAAAAGAUAAAAUAAUGGCACAUCAACAAAGAAGGGUAAAAAGAGCUAAAUUGAAUAAAGAUGUAAAGUUCACGAGUUAAAUUUAUUAUUAUGUCAUAUAUAUAUAUAAUCAAAAUGAACAUUUAACGAUAUAAUUUUAAUAGAGAGACUAUUUUGCUAAUUCAUCUAAUAUACACAGACUAAAUUUUCACAUAUCUAUUUUUCUAUAUUUUCAGAGAAAGAGAAUUAAUACAUGAUAGAUUCGAUAAAUGCAAUAUGAGAUACAUUAUAGGGACUGAUAUGGAAAGUUUAUCGAAAAAAUAUGAACUGUUUUAUAAUAUAUAAAAAGCAAAAGAAAAUGGGAAGUUCUCAAGUUUUUUUGAAUAAAUGAAAAUAAGCCCAAUUAUUUCAACGAUAAUCAAAAUGAACAUUUAACGAUAUAAUUUUAAUAGAGAGACUAUUUUGCUAAUUCAUCUAAUAUACACAGAUUAAAUUUUCACAUAUCUAUUUUUCUAUAUUUUCAGAGAAAGAGAAUUAAUACAUGAUAGAUUCGAUAAAUGCAAUAUGAGAUACAUUAUAGGGACUGAUAUGGAAAGUUUAUCGAAAAAAUAUGAACUGUUUUAUAAUAUAUAAAAAGAAAAAGAAAAUGGGAAGUUCUCAAGUUGUUUUGAAUAAAUGAAAAUAAGCCCAAUUAUUUCAACGGGCUUUAAAUUGGGCCGUUUUAGCUGAUUCAAAAGGUCGGUAAUUAUCGGAAGCGAUACUCUGAUACUCAGGGUCUCAAAGCGGUCAAAAGUCAAAGUCUCUCCCCAUAAUCCCUAAUCCCUCACCAGAAAAAAAUCCAAUUCCCCUUCCCCCAAAUCAUAAACCCUAGCCAUAGCAAUUGAAUUGUCCCGGAGAAGGUCGCCAAGAUGGGAAAGAAACAGCACAGCAAAGAUCGAAUGUUCAUAACGAAGACGGAGUGGGCUACCGAGUGGGGCGGCGCUAAAUCCAAAGAAAAUCGUACCCCUUUCAAACGACUUCCCUUCUAUUGCUGCGCGUAUGCCUCACUUUCCAUUCCCAUUUUUGCUUUAUACCAUUUUUGCUUUAUAUCUUAUUAUAUUCAUUUUUUUUCUGGUUGUCUUAUUCAGCCUUACAUUCACGCCCUUCGAGUUGCCUGUAUGCACGAAGGAUGGCAGCGUCUUCGAUUUAAUGUUGGUAUCUUUUCAUUUCGUUGUUACUUAUUUCAAGCUUUUAUAUAGUGUAAUUUAGGGGGUUUUGUUAUUUUUUUAUUGUUUUCUUGUGCAGGAAUGUAGUUCCCUAUAUAAGAAAGUAUGGGAAGCAUCCGGUUACUGGGGCUCCAUUGAAGCAGGAGGAUCUUAUCAAUCUUACUUUCCACAAGAACUCUGAAGGUUUGAAAUAUUUAUUUUCGAGUUCACGUUUUAAUUCAAUGAACCAAAGAAAUUGAGCAAGCCAUAUAAUAUACUGCUGUCAGGUUUCAACAAAGUAUGUUGUAGAUUUAGAAGUAAAUUUUCUAAAGUUCAUGUUAAAAGGGGAUACUUGUUUGAAAUAUUGUUCCUUUUAGUAAAAAAAUAUAGUUUAAUUAAGAUGCUGUUCCUUGUGUGAAUUGUCGAUUUGAUUAUAGAUUACAUUAAUUGCUUUCUAGGUUCUUUUAUUUGGUGCAUGAGAUAAAUGGUGGAUGUAUAUUUUGCAUGAGUUACAGCAAUUUCCUGCAAAACUAAAUAUUGGUCUUCUAUUCUUUACCUGACUUCUUAUAACUUUUUCAACAAGGUUGAACUUGAGUGUGUGUGUGUGUGUCUUCAUUUAGCUAUGACAUGUGAAUUUUGGAUGUUAGACAGUUACCUGUUUUGGGUUGAAAAAACGAAACCAUGGGACGGUUGUUGCAUGUUAUAUUUAGGUUAUUAUUGUCAUUUUCUCUAUAAACGAGCUUGUGAGGAUGCAAUUUCUGCCCGCUUUUGUAGUUACUUCCUGUUCUUUAUUAUUUUAAAUACUUAAGGUUCUGCCAGACUAGAGUGCACUUCAUCUUUGGUUUAAUUUUGAGCCAAAAAUCAAGAAGUUGGAAUUAGAGUCUGCUUGUCUAUGGCCUCUUUCUUCAGUGUCACAGUUUAAUAUUUGUAGGUUCUGUCAAGACAACCUUCUGCAAUUACUGUGAAGUUGGUAACAAGGGUAGUAGGGGAAAUUGCACUUGCACAUACUAAUAAAUCCUAUGUUUGUUAUACUUUGAAAUCAUAUCUUUGGGGAAUCAAUUUUAACUAAAUGAGAAAUGGAAUAAAUGCUUGAAAUACUCUUUGGUGAUGGUGGAAAUAAAGGCUAUUAAUUCUCAUGGGUAAUAGAUGUAAACCUUGCUAUGGUCUUCUUAUUACUGUUGUUAUAUUGAUUAUACUGGUGCAAUUUGAUAGAAGGCUGUUCAUGAAUGUUGUUCUACUUUAUUGUUUUAUGUGCAACUAUGUUGGUAUGCUGGUUGCUAUUCUUUUCAGUUAUAUAUAUUUUAGAAUUGACUUUAUUUUAGAUGUCUUUAGUAUUUGCACGUUUGGUUUAGUUUUCAUGCCUCAAGGAUAUUGAAAUGGUGCCUUAAUGCAGGGGAGUAUCAUUGUCCUGUGCUGAACAAAGUUUUUACCGAGUACACACACAUAGUUGCUGUGAAGACUUCAGGAAAUGUUUUCUGUUAUGAGGUAUAGUUUAUUGCUUAUAUUGUCAACAUUUCCUCUUAAGGUCAGAUAGAUGUGUUAAAGCAUGAUACUGUUUUUCCUUUUUUUUUCUAUUGCAGGCAAUUAAAGAAUUAAACAUCAAGACCAAAAAUUGGAAAGAGCUUCUUAUAGAUGAACCUUUCACUAAGGAAGAUAUAAUUACAAUUCAGGUAAGCAGUGCAUUUAAUUCAUAUUCUGUUUUUAUUUGAUUAAUACAACAAUUAUGAUACGAGUCACAAAAGCCUAAAUUCUUGAAGGCGAGGCCCAAUAAGCAAAUUCCCAGCCCAAUCAAGAAAUCCAUCUAUACUUAGUUGAAAAUCAGGCCAAAUUGUCAAAGUGGCCCAAGUUGUAAAGUUUUAUUUUUAUUUUUAUUUAUUUAUUUACUUAGUUUAAAUUUUUAUGUCAAUAUUCAGCCUAAGAGUCCCAGAUAAAAUGACCUUUGACCGAAAUUUCAUAUUAAAAUAAUUAUAAGUUUUUUUUAUUUUAGUUUUCUAAUUAGAUUAGGACUAGUUAUAAGGCCUAUUUAAAGGCAUGUCUGUCCACCUUGUUAAACACUUAUCAUUAUUAUUAAAAUUUUCAGAUUUGUUAAGAGCAGAAUUUUCUUUGAGUUUUCUCCAAGAUUUAUCUCUUAAGUUUUCUUUAUAAGUUGUUUUAACAAUCUUUUUGAUUGUGGGAGCCAUCUUUAACCUUCUUCUUACCAUUGAUAUUCUUUGGAGGGGAGAUUAGAGUCGUUUGAAGGGAGUUGUGAGAUCUUUCGAGAUUUCAAGGCUUCUUAGGACUUAUCUUUUAAUUUCUUACUGUCAAUUCUUUCUUUAUUUCUACUUGGGCUGAAUCAUUAUCUAAUUUAUUUUCUGUUCUUAUUGUAUUUUCAGCCUUUUUUUAUAUUAAGGAAUCAGCCCAAAAAUCUCCAAUUUCUAGGGUUUUUCUAUACUCUUUUUGGGUGAAAUUAGAUUGUCGAAAUUUAGAGAAAACUAUCUUGGUGUUCAAUUGGGCAGAAUCACAAUCUCCUUGAGGUUUUCAAGAACUCUAACACUUAUUUCUAUUCUCUAUUUGAUUCUUUACUGUUUUGGGGAUUUUAUUUCAGAUCUGAAAUUUAAAAAUCUAAUCUUUUAAUUUUUUGUUUCGUUUCAGAUCUAAUUGUUUAGGGUUUUCGUAGGAGUUUCUCGUGACUUGGCAACUCGAUCUUGGUCCGCGCGUAAUCCCGUAUCAUUUGGUAUCAGAUUUUGGGCGUUUUGGGUGUUCUUGGUUAAUUUUUAAACUGAUCUCUAUUUUUUAAAUUACAAACAGCAGUUUUACCCAGAAAAAUUUUCGAAAAAAAUUUAUUUGAGUGGGUAAACGUUUUCUGAUUGAUCUGAAAUUUUACAUACAUAUUUUUGGCACUGUUAUUGAAUAUACAAAAAUAUUUCCCGCAAAAAAAUAAGUCGAAAAAGUCAAAAAAUUGAAAAAAGACGAAAUCCAAUAAAAAAUUAAAAAAAUAUUCAGCGGGUUGAAUUUGGUGCCCAAAUUUUUCAGAUCAAAAAUUCAAUAUUUUAAGACAUUCCAGAUUUAAUUUUGUGAUUUUUAGAGAUCGGGAACACCUCUAACGAAGUUGUUAAGUUACUCCGCAGUUUUUCGGGUUUUCUGGUUUUAGCAAUUUUUAUUGAUUCUUAGCUGUAGGUUUUCAUUUGUUAACCUUUAUUCUUCCUUUACAUUAUCUAACACCUUCUUGUUUCUUGUGUUAGUAGGAUUUAAACGUGUGCAAAACUUCUUCCUCGGUGCAACACGAAUCAAUUGGUGUCUCGUCAGUUUUUGGCAUCCUAGUGCAAAUUAAGAUUCUUUAGUAGUUUGGUUCAUACUCUCUAAUUGGUUGAUAUAAACUCUGAUAAAGAACUCACAAGAUUGAAUUCGACCUCAUUGAGAAUUUGAUUUUUUCUUUUUGAGUGAUUAACGGUGAGGUUUGAUAACUUUUAUUUUUGAGUGUUUAGUGUUUUGCAGGUUUUAAAAAAAAUGUCUACAGGUGAUAAUAAUAGUGACAUAUUUAAAAAAUUCCAACAACAGUUGGACGAACAGGCUGCUGCACUUCGAGCGUUGACUGCUACUAUCAAUACGGUGCGGUUGAAUCAAGAGCCUCAAUAUCGAGAUCAAAUUCAAGACGAUGUGGAUAACCAGCCUCCUGCUCAUAGGCGCGCUCCUCGACGUGUCCCUAGAACUGAUUAUGAUCUUCAUGAUCGUGGACAACCCUCUUUGGUAAAACCAAAGAGCGAGCAGCAACGAGAACAUCUCUUUCAUACUCGCUGCCAUGUACAAGGUAAGCUUUGUAGAGUUAUUAUUGAUGGUGAAAGUUGCUCGAACGUAGCCAGCACGACGAUGGUGGAAAAGCUUUGCUUAACCACUACCAAGCAUCAACGACCUUAUCAACUACAAGGGCUUAGCAACGAAAGCCAAUUUAAGGUCACUCAACAAGUGCGCAUCGCCUUUUCUAUCGGUAAGUAUCAAGACGAAGUUGUGUGCGACGUAAUGCCUAUUCAAGCCUGCCAUUUGUUGUUAGGAGAACCAUGGCAAUUGGAUCGAAAAGUCACUCACGAUGGUCGUACCAAUAGGUAUUCUUUCAAGUAUCAAAGAAGGAAAAUCACCUUAGUGCCGCUCACUCCGGAACAAGUCCAUGAGGACCAAAUCAAACUGAAAAAUUCUGUUGUUAAAACAAGUGAGGAAAAAGAAAAAAGAAUGAAAAAGAACAAAAAGAGAUUGAGAGUGAAAAGGAAUGUGAAACAAAAAAGAAAAUUGAAAAAGAAGUUGAAGAAAUAAGAGAAAAUGAGUUAGAAAAAGAAACAAAAGAAAAAGACGAGGAAAGGCUAGUGAGGAAUGUUUCCACUAACCAAGUUAUGAAUUUUUCUUGUGUUGCUACUUUUCAGAUUCCUGAAAGAUCGAAAGAUAAUUUUCAAUUUCAAUACCUCUCAAAUGAAAGACGCUUUCAUACGAUCAACUUAAGCAAAGAUGAAAUCACACUAUAUGAUCCCGAAGGUAAGCGAGGUAAGGAAAUUUUAGAAAUCGAGUCCAGUGCAGAUUUGAAAAUUAUUGAUAAAACUUUUGGUGACUUAGUUCUUAAAAGAUUCUCUCAUUUUGAUCCGAUUAAUUGUUACUCUUCGAUUGUGGUUGAUAAAGUCAUUACGAAAAGAAGCGUGAUUUGUUAUUCUCUUGAUUUACCUUGUAUAAAAUCCUUGAAUUUGUCCAAAUCUGUUUUGGAGAAUAAGGUAACGAAAUUUUCCAAAUUUGUUUUCAAUUUAUAUUCGUGCCUUAAACAGUUUAUGUGGUUGUACAUGAAGUUUGAGUUCCAUUUGACAAACGUUAACUCAACAACGAAGAUUCGACUACACUAUGCCCCCGAUGAGCGAAGGUUUGUUUUAAAUGAAAAAGGUAAAAUCGACCCUUAUUCUUCUGCUUAUCGAGGUAAGAUGCUUGAAACCUUUGAAACAUUUUUGUACUCCUCGGAUAGUGAUAAAGAUCGUGUUGAUGAACACUUAGAUUGAAACGUACUUGACUGUCCUAUUUUAUUUAUUGAUGAUCUAUCUGUUUUGAUGGUUGAUAAAAAUAUUCUUGUUUUUGAUAAUGCAUGUGUGAGUGAAUUUAUAGACCGUCGAUUAAUACAUGGUAUGAUUAUGCAACUCUGUGAACCAUGUGAAUCUUUUCAAAUACGUACUUGUGACGAUUAUGUUUACCAUUUGAUUUAUUACUCGCAAUUUAUUCAUGGUUUGUGGGAACAAUGUGAGACGACUGAAUGCCUUAAAACAUGUCCAUCUUUGUUUCAAAUAUUUGACGAGGCAGUGGUGAGUAAAUUAGAUUGUUUGCAUGGUAAUCUGAAUUUGUCCAUUCAUAUGCGUUAUACCUGUUCUGUUAUGCUUAUGAUUGGACUACAAGCUUGUUUCCGUUGCUAUUUACUAUCUCAUGGCUAUUCUUUUUCAGUGGACUCAAUUGCCAUUAGUCCCGUUCGAUAGAGGAAAGUCGAGUUCAUUUGAUUUUUCAGAUUCGAGAACGAAUCUUUUUGAGGAAGGGGGGAAUGAUACGAGUCACAAAAGCCCAAAUUCUUGAAGGCGAGGCCCAAUAAGCAAAUUUCCAGCUCAAUCAAGAAAUCCAUCCAUACUUAGUUGAAAAUCAGGCCAAAUUGUCAAAGUGGCCCAAGUUGUAAAGUUUUAUUUUUAUUUUUAUUUAUUUAUUUACUUAGUUUAAAUUUUUAUGUCAAUAUUCAGUCCAAGAGUCCCAGAUAAAAUGACCUUUGACCGAAUUUCCAUAUUAAAAUAAUUAGGAGUUUUUUUAUUUUAGUUUUCUAAUUAGAUUAGGACUAGUUAUAAGGCCUAUUUAAAAGCAUGGCUGUCCACCUUGUUAAACACUUAUCAUUAUUAUUAAAAUUUUCAGAUUUGUUGAGAGCAGAAUUUUCUUUGAGUUUUCUCUAAGAUUUCUCUCUUGAGUUUUCUUUAUAAGUUGUUUUAACAAUCUUUUUGAUUGUGGGAGCCAUCUUCAACCUUCUUCUUGCCAUUGAUAUUCUUUGGAGGGGAGAUUAGAAUCGUUUGAAAGGAGUUGUGAGAUCUUUCGAGAUUUCAAGGCUUCUUAGGACUUAUCUUUUAAUUUCUUACUGUCAAUUCUUUCUUUAUUUCUACUUGGGCUGAAUCAUUAUCUAAUCUAUUUUCUGUUCUUAUGAUGUUUUCAGCCUUUUUCUAUCUUAAGGAAUCAGCCCAAAAAUCCCCAAUUUCUAGCGUUUUUCUAUACUCUUUUUGGGUGAAAUUAGAUUGUCGAAAUUUGGGGAAAACUAUCUUGGUGUUCAAUUGGGCAGAAUCACAAUCUCCUUGAGGGUUUCAAGAACCCUAACACUUAUUUCUAUUCUCUAUUUGAUUCUUUACUGUUUUGGGGAUUUUAUUUCAGAUCUGAAAAUUCAAAAAUAUAAUUUUUUAAUUUUCUGUUUCGUUUCAGAUCUAAUUGUUUAGGGUUUUCGUAGGAGUUUCUCGUGACUUGGCAACUCGAUCUUGGUCCGCGCGCAACCCCGUAUCAAAUUAUUUGUUUUGCC
This 75113-nucleotide long non-coding RNA is filed under the name Gossypium barbadense (sea-island cotton). RNAcentral describes it as "long non-coding RNA (GBAR_LNC011439)". The stretch from base 12403 to 12509 matches the Rfam family "Plant small nucleolar RNA R71". Lineage: Eukaryota; Viridiplantae; Streptophyta; Magnoliopsida; Malvales; Malvaceae. The record is from RNAcentral.